UUUUUUUUUUUUUUUUGUUUCUGCUUCUUUCCUUGGUUCCAUGGUUCCAUAUGAGUCAGUUGUGGCAUUAGGUGUAGGGCAUCUAGGGUUUAGACAUUAUCUCUCUCAAAAAUUAUCCACCAUUUCUUGUCUUCUUCCUUGGUUUCACUUUUUUCUUCUCCUUCAUCUUGAACCCUCUACUCUUUUCUCAUUCUUUCCUUUCUAUUUUCUUCCCUCUUAUCUUUCUUUUCUUCUUUUUUCUUCCUUCUUUCUCCCUAUUACCAAGGGAUCUUUCUUCUCUAAUAAUGUUUUGGUUAAAUUAAUUAUAACCCUCAGUGAUUUUACAUAAUGCCAAAUGACCCCUCUAAAGGUUUAAAAUAGCCAUAUAACCCUCUUAUGAUUUUAUGUAAAGUGAAAAAUAGGCGGAAUGCAUAAUUAGUUAUGGCGUUUAUCCCAAACGCACUCUAAAAGUGUUUGUAAUAAAAUUUUAAUCUCCAUGAAACUCUCUUUUGAUUUGUAUAAGUAUUUACUUUACCCUUUGUGGUUUCUGCAUUUAUCCAUGUAAUCCAAUCAUACUUUUAUACAAGGUGUCGCGCCCCAUUUUUUGAUAAAUAAAUAAAAUGGUUUAAAAAAUGUAUUUUUUGAUUCAAUUUGUGAUUGGAAAAUGAAUUGUGAUUUAAAAGAAAAAUGGGUCUAAAUGGGGGUUUGAAAAUGCGACGAUUUGACCCAAAAUUAUAGUUUAAAAAGGGUUUUUGAAAAAAUGGGAGUCGCCACUUGGUAAUGAGUUAAGGUGUACCAAGUCACCUAAAAAUGAAUUUUUUAGGAAAAAGUUGUAAGAAACCCCUUUUAAACGACUCCUAGUCUACGUAAACCAAUGAAAAAGGUUCGGGAGUCACAUUUGACGAAGGGGAAGGCAAGGAUAAAAAUCCAAGGCACCCCUUCGACCUAGUCAAGGCUAGUUGCGUUGAUUUAAUCAAAGAUUUUCUUGUUUUAACCAAAGAAUUUAUUACACUUGGAUGUACUACAUGAAUGCAAAACCCUAGACCUAGGGGUAUUGGGGGAAAUUUCCCUUCAAAGGUUGAGUGGUGCCAAUCACAUUAAUUGUGAAGCCCAAUAACGAUCCUUUGAAGAAGUCACGAAUAAUGCGAGUGGGAUGCAAAUGAAUGGAAUGCAUGUAUGCAAUGUGAGGAUAUGUGAAAUGAGAAGAAUAAUAAAAAUAAUGGGAUGCAAGUGGAGGUGUGCAAAUGUAUUUACAAGUGUUUGUGUGCAAGUGAAGGGAUAAAAGGUGUACGUGUGCAAAUGGGAGAAAAAAAUGAAAGUGUAAUGAUAGAGUGGACUUAGAAUGCAUGAGCCUAGGGAAUUCAUGCAUAUUGGGACGGGGAGACCUAAAUCGUGACUCAAUUUGCCCUUUUAUAGAGGGAAUACAAGCGUGCUAAGGCUUAGAGAAAGCCACACUCGUCUAUAUCCCAUAUUUAGGGGGACUCUCAAGCAAAUGAACCUUAUAACUAGCAUGAAAUGCAAAAAUCCUAAAAUGGAGGGAAAAGGGGUUCGAGGGGCAUGUAAAAUGAUAAAACUAAAAAGAAUGCAUGACAUGUAAUGAACAUGCAAACAUGUACUAACGAGGAGAAAUCCCUAAGGGUCUAGCGUUGGACUAGCCCAUUCUAUGAAUUCCGACUAGCGUUGGACUAGUGGAAACGUACAUUCAUCCAUUCCAUUCAUCCACAUUAUAAAAAGCGAGUAGACAUGUGAAUCACUUAUAAACACGUAGCACAUAACAUUUAGCAUGCUUGACUAGAUGCAAGGACCUAAUAAAGCGAUUAAACACUUAACACGUAGGCAUGCAACCAAACUAAUGAACCUAUUACAUUCACUAACUAAAACAAAAAGGGAAGGGGAAAAUGGACCAAAUUGCUCGCCACAGCCCUAUCUAUUACAAGCCAAGAGGUGUACACAUACCCCAUUAAAAGAAUAAGUUAAUAAAGCAAAAGUAAAUGAAAGGAAUGAAAGGAAUUAAAGAAAUGUAAAGAAAGCAAAGUAGACAUGCAAUUCACUUAGCACCUUGGAUCAUAUAAGAGAGACAAACAAAGAUAAAAGAAAGUUAUACCUCAUCGCAAUGGUAAGCAAAUGAUGGAAAAUGGCUUCAAAACAAAAAAAGGGGUCAAGGCACCAAUUGAAUAGUAAAGUAUAAGGAAAAUCACCAAAAUUCCCCUAAUUGCAACUCAAAUGAAAUCACACAGUGCCUAAUUACCAAGAAAGUGGAAUGAUCCAUCAAAUUCCCAAAAAUAGCAACUAUUAAGGACCCAAUUGCAAUAUUAAUCAAUCACCCAAACCCAAUUCAAACAUUUUAGGAAAUUCAAGGGUCCAAAAGCAAAGAGAGAGGCAAGUAAUGACUCAAAAUGCACCCAUCUUAGGACCUAAUUGCAAGACAUUGGAAUGUAAUUGGGCCAUAAUGCAUUGCUGCAAAAAUCACAGGGACUCAAUUGAUUAGUUUUCUCAAUUUUGUGGGUCAUAAUAGCAUAAAGAGAAACUUGAGGGGGUUAAGAGGCAAUUUUGAAGAAUUAUUUCAUGCAUGCUACGUAGAAACUUAAGAUUCUGCAACUAAACCAAAAGCUACUCCCUUUUAUUUUCCAAAGCUUCGGCAAUGUCCAACAACAAUUACAUCCAUUUCAUCAUACAAACAAAUUCAUCAAACCAGAAAUUGUUGACUAAAUCAAAGCAUGAAAUUUGUUUGCAGGAUUAAGAUGGCAAAUCUGAUUUUGAUCGACAACAAAAGAAAGAAAGAAAACUGCAGCAAGGUUUCUUUCUCUGCAACAUGCUGGGUUUCUCAAAUGCAAUUUCAUAUCCAUCCAAACAUAAGUAGUGGCUCCAAUCAACUAAACCAGGGAUCAAAGUGAGAAGAUAACCACACAUUUUUCCACUUUUAGACAUGACACUUCAGUACAGAAUUCGUAGGAAAAGAAUAUGUUCAAUCUAAAAACGAAUUUCUGCAACUUUCUUGACUAUGCUUUGAAAUUUCAGCAAUCUCAUGCGGCCAGAUUCAAGGAUCAUAUCAAACAAGGAUCCAGCCGAAAACACAUACUAAGCAUACAAGGGAAAAGGAAAGAAUUGGGCGACAUUACUACAAGCAAACAAGCCAAGGCCAUACAAACUGCAGGUUUAAAGACCAGAAAUUCAUGCAAUUACAAAGAAUCAACGUUCUGCAAUUUUGAUGCAGAAAAUUCGUGUCAGGCUUGAACCAAAGUCAACAGACCCAUCACUCGAAACUCUUAACAACAAUGAAUAUUUUGAUUAACACAACCUAAUUGUAAACACCAAACCAUUGAAACCCCAAACGAGGCGUCAAAUGAGCAAUACAGAAGCCACAACUAGAUUCUUGGGUUUAUCUUUAACAAGCUCCGCAUGAGUCAUCCAAAUCAAAAGCUACCCAUGUCACAAACUCAAUCAAACAUCACAUAACCCUAAAAUUAGAUCUACAAAUGAUCCUAAUCAAAACAAGACCAUACAACCUCAGGUUUCGAACAAGAGAAACGGCAAAUUAAGCUAGCAUGGAGGAACCAGAAAUGAAUGGAAACAAAAAGCGUAGACAGCCACAGCAAGCAAGAAAUUCAAAACCACGACUCAACAAAGAACGAAAAGGAAAGGGACUAAGACACCAAUCUAGGAGAGUACCUACCCGAGCCUUUUUGGAUCAAAAUCCGGACAGGAGAACGCCGUGAAAGAACUGCUGCAGUCGUCCCUUUGCGGUUUCGAAACCGCACCAGUGGAACCGAGCUGUGGAUUUUGGAGCUGAAUUUGGGAGCCUUCCCAACGUUGUUUGUGAAAGUAAUCUGAACAAAGCUUCUUCUAUUAACUACCUAAUGUGUGCAGAAACUGAAAUCUCCUCCAAUUGAGCAAUCAGAAAAAAGAUAAUCACGCUGCGAGCGGUGCCGAAAACCAGCCCGUUCGGAUGAAAUUUUUGGCAGAAAAAUGUUUCUGGUUUUGUUUUUUUUUCUUCCAAACUCAGCCGUCGUUCUACUCUCGGACUCUCCCUCGAUCGUUUCUUUUCCUCGGCCCAAAGUUCCCUUCUUUCUUCCCCGGCUUCCUUGUUUCUUUUCUGGCAGCCCGAAGCUCGCUUUCCCGUCGCUCUCUUUUCACUCUAUCUCUCUCUCGGCCCCUUUGGUGUUGCCCGUCGCUCUUUUCCAGUUUCAGUCACCUCUCUUGCUGCUGCCGAAAGCCCUCUUCUCCUCUGCCUUUUCUCUCUAAACCCUCACGGCUGAUCCUUCCUUCCUACUUGCCCAAAGCCCGUAACCUUCCUUUUGCUGGUUCUCCUUUUCCCGUCACACACACUCUCUACUUCCUCAAGAUUUUUCAGCCGCCACUCUACUCAGCUCUCUGUAUGCUCUCGGUUCCCUCUCUUUCACUCUCUCAGCCUAUCCGUCUCUACCUCUCAAACUCUCAGUUUUUCAAUCUUAGCCGUCACUUUUUUUUUCUCUCUGCCGUCAGUCACUCUAUCUUCUUACUCUCUCCCUUCUCUCUGCCAUCUGUUUUUUUUUCUCUUCCCCUUUUGCUUGUUUCUGAUCUUUCUUUUUGCUUGCAGCCGUCACGUACUCUCUCUCUGUAUGCUCCCCCUGUCGGCUGCUGCCCCAAAAAUGCAACCUCUCUUCCUCUCGGUUUUCUUCCUCAGAAACUCUCCGUAGCUUUUCUUUUUCUUUGCUGUUGUCGACCUUCACUCCCCUUUUGCGGCUAUCCUUCCUCUGUCCAUUUAUAUCAGCAAAACCAACCCUAAAACAACUCAGCCCUCUUGCCAUAUUUGCAGCUAAGGGCCGCUAAAUCCUUUGUUUGCAAGCUGCGUAAAAACGCAGCUUGCAGCCGCGUAUCAUCUUUUUUUUUUUUUUUUUUUCUUUCGAAACUAUUAAUACCAAACGAUAACAUAUAAAUAAUAACAAAUUAACAAAAUUGACAACAAAACCUAAAUAAUAAUAAUAAUGAAAACAAAUUAAAAAAAACAAAUUAAACAAAUAAAAACAACAAAAAUGGCCAUUUUCAAUUUUUCUUCAUUUUCCCUUUUUUUUUUUUCUCUUUCAAAAUAAAUAAACAAAAUGCCAACAGAUUGAACUUAAAAGAAAUGCACGUAUUUUUGUGAACCAUUUUCUUUUUUUUCCUUUUUUUUUUAUUAUUUUUCAUUUUCAUUCUCAUUUUUGCCAUUUUUCCAAGAAAACAUUGAAUUUAAAUCAAAACAAGUAAAACAUAUAUUUAUAUAUUUUUUUUUUGAAUGCUUUUCUUUUCUUUUCGAGAAAUCCUAUGCUAAAAACUUAAAAAUAAUAAUAAUAACACAAAAAAAUUAAAAAAACUAAAAACUAAAAAGUGAAUAAAACGAGCACAAACUAAAAAAAAAAUAAAUAGUAAAUGAAAUUACACCAAAAUUUGGUGUCUACAGUUUGCCCCUCUUUGUCUGAGUUUUGAAAAAACUUGAGACAAAGAAGUAGACACCAAAUACUUACCUGUGUUAUUGGGCUGCAAAAGAUUCCCACGAACAGGAAUUAUAACACGGGACUGACCCGAACAUGAAAAAUAAAACGGGACUGACCCGAUCCAGAAUUGAAAACAGGACUGACCCGAACAUGAAAAAUAAAACGGGACUGACCCGAACAGGAAUUUAAAACGGGACUGACCCGAGCAGGAAUUUAAACGGGACUGGCCCGAACAGAAUUUAAACGGGACUGACCCGAACAGAAAUUUAAACGGGACUGAUCCGAACAAGAAUUUAAACGGGACUGACCCGAACAGAAUUUAAACGGGACUGACCCGAACAGAAAUUUAAAGUUAUGAAUUGAAGUGAGAUGGAGUCUUAGUGGGAUUGACCCAUGUUUACUGGUGAUGUAAAUGAAAGAAGUGAAAUGAAAUGUUAAUGGGACUGACCCAUGUUUGUUAGUGAUGCAAAUAAAAUGCUCACUGGCGGGACUAACUCACGCUCCAGUGGCUGUGAAAACGGAAUGCUCACUAGUUGGGACAAACCAAACGGCUAGUGGCGAAUGCAAAUGAAAGGCACACUAGUGGGACAAACCCAACGGCUAAUGGCGAUGAAAAUAAAAGGCACACUAGUGGGACACACCCAACGGCUAGUGGCAAUGAAAAUAAAAGGCACACUAGUGGGACACACCCAACGGCUAGUGGCGAAUGCAAAUGAAAGGCACACUAGUGGGACAAACCCAACGGCUAAUGGCGAUGAAAAUAAAAGGCACACUAGUGGGACACACCCAACGGCUAGUGGCAAUGAAAAUAAAAGGCACACUAGUGGGACACACCCAACGGCUAGUGGCGAAUGCAAAUGAAAGGCACACUAGUGGGACACACCCAACGGCUAAUGGCGAUGAAAAUAAAAGGCACACUAGUGGGACACACCCAACGGCUAGUGGCAAUGAAAAUAAAAGGCUCACUAGUGGGACAAACCCAACGGCUGGUGGCCAAUGUAAUUAAAAGGCACACUAGUGGGACAAACCCAACGGCUAGCGGUGAUGAAGAUGAAAGGCUCACCAGUGGGACAAACCCAACGGCUGGUGGCAAUGAAAAUAAAAGGCUCACCAGUGGGACAAACCCAACGGCUGGUGGCAAAUGCAAUUAAAAGGCACACUAGUGGGACAAACCCAACGGCUAGCGGCGAUGAAGAUGAAAGGCUCACCAGUGGGACAAACCCAACGGCUGGUGGCAAUGAAGAAUGAAAUGCUUACUGGCGGGACAAACCCAGCUCCAAUGGCAAUGUAAAUGAAAUGUUUUGACAAUCAGACAGUGGGAUUAAACUUGAGCCUGUCGUGAUGAAAUUUGAUUUGAUUUUUUGAUUGAUGAUUUUCUUUUCUUUUUGCUUUUCUUUUUGACUUUUGAGAAUCUUUCCAAAAAAUUAAUUUGCCCCAGUAUGAUGAAUUUUUGCAAUGUGAGUCCAGAGUCGAUUCUGUAUCGCCAUGCUGUUGCAUUUUGACGAAAUUUGCUUGCGACAUUUUCAAUCUGCCUUUGUUCACCAGAGGACUCCUUCCAACAUCGAUUCCAGUGCGAGGUGUGAUUGUUUUCAUCUGUGCCUGCAAUUUUCUGCAAAAGAGAAAAAACAAAAGAAAUUGCCACCAUCAUUUGCCCCGUUUUCCUUUGAGAAUCGUGUAAACAUGAGUCUUUCGACGCCUUUAUCAACUUUUGCUACGACAGCCGAUUGAGUUGGAUUUCUCGCCCUAAGGCUUUUCCGAUUUUCAAACUGACCAGGUAUAUGCUUUGCCAUAUUAUGAAGUUUGUGUAGCUGGCUUGGCGGGAUUUCAACUGUUUCCAAAGGAUGACUGAAUCCAAGUAUACUUUUUGAAAUAAAUCACAGGGAUUGUCAUUUAUCACAAUUCAACGAUAAAAAAUGAGGUAUGCAAGAAAAUUCACAUGUCAUGUAAAAAUGAAUAUGCACAAGAAUGCACAUACAACCAUGUGUGCUUAAAUUCUAAAAAAAAUGUCAUGAAUACAAGUAAUUUGGGAAAAAAUGAGUUUCCUAAGAAUGUAUGUGCAAAAGAAUGUUUUUUCCAAAAUGACACAGCUUUGGCCAACGGAUGUCAUAUUCAAGUCUCUGGAUAUCUUAGUUCCGGAAUUCAAUGUUGCCAGAGGUAUGACAAAAAUGAGAAGAAAUCUAAAUGGACCAAACCACCAGUUGUUCCUCUUUGUGCUUUCUCAUUGCAGAAACCUACCUUAGCGCCCAUUCGGGUUUUCACCAAGGUUGCCCCCACCCUUUUUGUUGGUUUUUUCUUUCUUUUUCUUUUUUUCUCUUUUCCUUCUUUCUUUUUUCCUUUCCCUUGAGGUGCCCUUGUGGGUUUUCACCUAAGGAAACAAUGGAAGAGCUCAACCAUAGUCGACUCAGGAAUGUAAGUUGAAGAUUGCUGGCAUCAGUAAAAUGCGCUUCCCUUAUAAACUUAAACGAAGGCAUUAUGGACAUCACCUGCCAGUUGAUUAGCAAAAUCCCUAAUAGAAAUGCAGCAAGUGACGAAAGCCUGGACUUUGGGCUUUUGUAAUGAGGUCAGGUGGGGUGUUUUUCAAGAAAAGUUGAGGCUUGAAAGCAGGUUUGAUGAAAGGUGUGAAAUAACCUGAGAUUGCAUCAUUUUGAAAUUAUCUCUAAUUUUGAACAAAACCGAGGAAAUUUGCCCCAGUUUGAUUGGAUUUUCUCUUUCUUUGCAUUUUCUUCAUUGCAUUUUUCUCACUUUUUGCAUUUUCCUUCAAAACUAAAUUUGCCCCAGUGUAGGGUUCUUUCUUUUCCCAUAUCUCUUUCAAAGAUAAAUUUGCCCCAGUGUGGGGUUUUCUUUUCUUUCUGAUCAUUUUUCAAAAUGAAUUUGCCCCAGUGUGGGGUUUGCAAUUCUCAGGAGUUGCGAAACGAAAAUUAUUGUUCUGAUAGUUCAAAGGGGAUGACUAGGGAUGAAAUGUUUUGAUUGGAAAGGAAAAUGGCCUGACUUUUGCCUCGCCCUUUGCAUGAUUUCCUAAAAGAAACUUUGCAUAAUCAAAUAAAGAACAUCUUACACAUGUCCGAGUUGAUAGGUUGAGAGAAUGUCUGUCCUUCCAUCUCUCCUUUGAACACCCAAUAAGCUUUGCCGAUUUGAAGCAAAUUUGCCUUCGACUUCGUCUUUCAUCGCUUUAGCACUUUGUUUCCUUCUUCAGAAGAUCGGUGGCGGAUCCUUUUGUUAUGAACAUAGGCCAUGCGUUUUGACAACAUUGGUCAUGGCACAUAGCAUUAUCAAUCAGAAUCAAUCGUUAAUGAUACUGCUUUGACCAAUCAACUUUUAACCUGGCUGGAAAGGAAGGAAUUUUCUCAAAUGAAGGAAUUUCCAAAUGAAAGGAUUUUUCAAUGAAGGCUUUUUCAAAGAAGGGAUCUCUUAAUGAAGGCCUUUUCAAAGCAGGGAUUUCUCCAUGAAGGGUUUUCUCAAUGAAGGCUUUCUCAAAGAAGGGUUUUUUCAAUGUAUAGUCUCAAAGAAAGGAUUUCUCAAUGAAGGGAUUUUUCAAUGAAGGCUUCAUCGGAUUCCAGAACAGUGAUAUUCAAAGGGUCAAAUAAUUUUAUUUUGGCCAUCGAAAGAAUUUAGAAUGAAAUUGAACCAAUAAACAAUCAAUAUAAACAAAAUGGUGUUAACAAAAUAAUGAAAAGAUGUGACUAUGCAUGCUAUCGAAAGAAAACAACAUGGGAGCUUGAUAAUGCAAAAAAUGCUUUAGUCAAAACUUAAUUUAACAUGAUAAAACUAUUUACUCAAAAGCAAACGGUGACGAGUUUCAUGAAGUUUAACAAAUAACAAUCCCUGGAUUCAUCCCAAAUUCCCUUUGCGAGAGAAGAUACUUGGCAAUCCAAUUGUGCAAGGUUUCUUCAAGAUUUUCAAAUGUCUUCAUUGGAAGUGGAUGCCUCAAAGGUGUCCUUGUGUUCAGGAAAAGGAUUUGUAUUUAUGCUCGGUCCUUGUCCACCUUUCUUUUUUAGCACUAUUUCACCUGCCUCGAUCAUGUCUUGGACUCUAUGCUUAAGUGCUCUACAGUCAAUAGUUGGGUGGCCGGGUGCUCCCGAAUGAUAGGCACAAGUGUACUGCGAAUCGUAGUUGGCAGGGACGCCAUGAGGGUGAGAUGGAGGGGGAAUUACGCUGAUUUUACCGGCAGCUUUUAAUUGUUCGUACAAUUGGUCCAAGGGCCUGCCAAGAUUGGUAAAGGUACGAUAAUGGUUUUGUUUUUGGGGUUCAAUGGGUCGGGGGUAAUUAUAGGUGGGCCUACUUGGUGGAGGGAAUUGUUGAUUAUAGGGAGGUCGGGGUCGAACUUGUUGGAAGUUAGGUUGAGAUAUUUGAAAAGGGGCCAUAGGAGAGUUGUUGUAGUUAGGCCGAGGUCGAGGAUGAAUGGUAUUGGUGUGAUAAACAGGAUGAGGGCUUGAAUAGUAAGGGUUUGAGUAGGUAGGGUAUUGUCGAGAUCUGGGUCUUGGAAUAGGGCUUCGAUUCCAGACAAAAACAGUUUCCCCCUCUUGCCUUUUGGACUGUUGCUUCUUCCCAUUACUACCUUGGCUUUGCAGAGCAUCCAACUGCGAUUUGAGGGCAGACACAUUAACAAUCUUUCCAGCUUUCACGAAAUCAUCAAAUUCUUCAAGUUUAUUAACAAUUGCGGCAAAUGAGCAUCCAGUCAUGCGGAAAAUUUCUUCAAAGUACGGCGGAUCAUGUGCCUUAAUGAAAGUUCGUAUGAUUUCGUCCUCCGUCAUUGGUGGCUCGACUUUUGCAGCUACUUUCCUCCACCUCUUAGCAUAAGUCUUGUGAUCCUCGGAGGGUUUCCUCUUUGUCCCUUCCAACGUGGUUCGUGUUGGAGCCAACUCGCAAUUAUACUCAUAUUGCCUUACGAAAGCCUUGGACAAGUCAAUCCAGGUUCUUACGUCUUCAGGUUUCAGAUUUGAAUACCAGUCAAGUGCGUCCCCUUCCAGACUUUCAGGGAACAACCUUAGAGGCAAGUUUUCAUCGUCCACAGGCUUUCCCAAUUUGUUUGCAAAUAGUCGGAGGUGCGUCUUGGGAUUACCCGUCCCAUCGUAUUUGUUAAACUUAGGAGUUUUGAACCCCUCAGGCAGUUGCACAUUCGGAAAGAGACACAGCUCAUCGUAAUCCAAAAUUCCUUGCUUGUUCAGCACCUGACUUUUCCUCAUGAAUUCAUCGAAACGGUCCAGGCGCUUUAAUAACUUCACAUCAAUGGGAGCAGAGGAUCCUCCCACCUCUGGUUUGGUUUGAAUAAAAUGGUCCGGCAGAUAAGGCUCAGUGGUGGGGUAAUAAAAAGCUUGUGUCUCAGGUGGUAUAUUUGCAGUGACUUGAGGUUGUGGGCCUUGCAUAUGAGUAGGGAAAAAUGAAGGAUUAGAAGGGUAAGUGUAUGGCAGAUGAACGGUGGGGUAGGUGAAAGUCCCUUCGGGUGGACCUUGCAUGGGAACAGUAGUUUGAACUGUAGGAAUAACAAAGGGUUCAGAUUGCAAUUGUAUUACGUGGGGAAGCUCCGGCUGUACCCCGCUACUGACAAGCUCAUCUAUUAAUUUCUUUUGGGCGGCCAUUUCAGAGGCCAUUUCCCCAAACUUAGCAAGUAACUCGGCCAACUGGACUCCAGGACUCGUGACUUCCGGCUGUGUAGUCGCUGUAGUCUUGUCGGAUGAUUCUGGUUGAAUAUUCAUGUUUACACGAUUCCUUUGAGCUUUACUUCGGGAUCGCGUAAUAAUGGGGCUUUUCCGGAAAGUUAUUUUUGGAAAUUUUACCUGAGAAUGCAAAAGACUGCUUUAAAUAAACCAAUCGUUAUUGAAUUUCUGCAAUUUAUUCAAAAAAGAAAAAGAAAAAGACAUGAGUUAGUAACUAUUCGAACAAUUCGGAUGCAUGUCCUAUGGGGGGACCCUUUUUGUGCCAAGGGUAGGCCUAGCAUGAAAAUGCAAUCCUCUGAGGUAGGCACUAUACCAUACCUGAUGGAUCUGAUCAACUCAUUGAGUGAAAAUAAUUUUUUGAAAAAUUUGGUCAAUUGGAGUGAGAAGAGACGAUGGUCAAAAUGAGGACCUCGUCCGAAGGGAUUGAUCACUUUUGAUCGAUACAAGAAUUGGCAAAAACGCGCAGGUUUGACCUUGACGAACUUCCUAUCGAAGAGAUUGGAAUUCCUUGAUAAAAUUUUCUCAGUGAAACGCGGGUCAAAAUUCCAACUGAUCAAAUGUCUUGAUGCAAUGAAUGGUUUUCUCAAAAAUCGACUAAGUUUUGAAAUUGAAAUUCGUCAUUGAAACCCUACUCGGUCAAUUGGGUUGAACGAAAUUGACAAUUUUAUUUAAAAUCGACCGCAUUACCCUAAAAAGGGAAUCGGGUCAAAUGAAUUGAGUGAAAUUUAAAAACUUACUCAAAAUUGACCGAAUCAUUCUAAAAAAGGGAUUUGGUCAAAUGAAAUCGAGAAUUUAUUCAAAAUUGACCGGAUCGCCCUAAAAGGGUAAACUGGUCAAAUGAAUCGGACGAAAUUAAUGAUUUACUCGAAAUCGAUAAGAUCGCCCUAAGAAUGGAAAAAUUGGUGAUUUAUUCAGAAAAUCGACUAGAUGAAGAUUUAUUCAAAAAUCGACCAAAUGACCCUAAAAAGGGUAAAUUGGUCAAAUGAAUUGACGAUUUAUUCAAAAUCGACCGGAUGACCCUAAAAAGGGUAAAUUGGUCAAAUGACCCUAAAAAGGGUAAAUUGGUCAAAUGGGACCCUAAAAAGGGUAAAUUGGUCAAAUGAAUUGACGAUUUAUUCAAAAUUGACCGGAUGACCCUAAAAAGGGUAAAUUGGUCAAAUGAAUUGACGAUUUAUUCAAAAUUGACCGGAUGACCCUAAAAAGGGUAAAUUGGUCAAAUGAAUGGAUGAUUUUUCAAAAAUUGACCGGAUGACCCUAAAAAGGGUAAAUUGGUCAAAUGACCCUAAAAAGGGUAAAUUGGUCAAAUGAAUUAAUUUAUUCAAAAUUGAUUAGGAAUUGACAAAAUGGAUCGAUUGAAUCGUUCGGCCAUUGGUGGUUUCAAAAAAUUAGUCUAUGAGCCUUCUAAAAUCACGAUUUGGCCUCAGUUUAUUAACUGUCUCAAUGAUAAGGAAUUAUUUGUGAAUUUCUUCAAAUUAAUGUCCUUUACGCAAGGGAUUUUUACCAAUUUUUGAUAAAAUGGCCAAAAAGUGAUUAUUAGAUGCUCAUAUUCCAAAGAUUACUCUAUGAAAAUGAUCGGAUCCUACCUUACCUUGUACACUACCCCUUUGGAUGGUACAAAAUGUAAACGUGCAAGUCUCACUGGAUUAAGUAUCCGAGACACAAAGGUGGCUUAUUCCUAAUGCGGGAUCCCCUAAAUGGCAUUCCCUUUCUAGGUUUUAUGCAUGAUGCCAUUUAUUAAAGCGGUAAAAUGUGCAAUUCGAAAUGAAACGUGACCUAAAAGAACCUUUUAUAUGCCAAGGUGGGCUUAGAAUGCUAUGCAAUUAUUAAUCUAUGAAUGCAAUAUACCAAAAUCUUUAAACGUGCAAUAACCUACCUACGAGGGUAGGUUCCUAAAAAAAAUGUCAUGCCAGACCUCUUAUUUGCUAGGGUUGUGAAUGCAAAAACAAGAAACAAGAAAAGUUAGUUCCACAUUUAAUCACAUAACACGUUGGACAAUUAAAUGAUAAAAAACAGGAAAAGUAAAUAAGGAAAAGGAUGGGAUCCCUCCCCUCGUGAAUGGUGUCCCUAAUAGGGUAAGGCAGACUCUACCCUAGGUGAACUAUAUGGAUGCAUGAGGUUGGGGUUCACUAAUGCAUCUAACUCGAUAAGCUCAGGUCCCCAAGCCUUCAGACUUAGGGCCAAGGGUCAUCAAUUCCAUGGCCCUUUGUCGGUGGCUCGAGCGAUUCCCCAAACACCGCUACGCACACGUCGUGUCACGGCCGCAUGUUUGAGUGAAUCUAUAAAAAACCUCAACUUUCGACUAAAAACUAAGGAUAUUAACCCAAAGUUUAAAGCGGAAGAGUGAGUGACCCAUUGGAUCGUGCUACGCACACGUCGUGUCACGGUCACACGUCCAAGUGGGUCUCCUAAUCCUAAUAGGGUGGAGUGGCGUGACAAGCCACUAAAAAGAAAAAUAAAAGGGGAUGAUAGGGUGGAGUGGCGUGACAAGCCACUAAAAAGAAAAAUAAAGGGGGAUGAAUAGUAAAGCGUAUGCGCGUAUGAUAGUGCACGUUUUGGAGGGGAGGGAUCGAGAACCAAUGCGUGGCUCUAAGGGUGACACACACCCCCCCAAGUGCAAUGACAAGCGCGGAAUCACAUACAAACAUCCAUUCAUCAAAACAAUCAUAGGCGAACGUGUGAGGAAGUGAGUUGAUACGUGAAAUGCAAAAAUCCUAGAAAAGGGAAAAAUGCAACCCUAAACAUCCAAUGUGAUAAAUAAAAAGGUUUAAAAGAAGAAAAAGAUUGAUUAAAUCGAUUGCUCGGACUCUCAAGUCCCCAGUGGAGUCGCCAACUGUCCCGCCCCAUUUUUUUGAUAAAAUAAAUAAAUGGUUUAAAAAAAUGUAUUUUGUGAUUGGAAAAUGAAUCGUGAUUUAAAAGAAAAAUGGGUCUAAAUGGGGGUUUGAAAAUGCGGGCAUUGUCAACUACUUCCAGACCGCGAAGAGUGAUGCCAUUUGGAGGACCGUCCUUCUCUGCUACGUUUGUUGGUGUUGAAUCAAUGAAUAAGGAGCCAUCGCAACCCUGAAAGCCUUAUUAAAUUAGUACUAAUUGCUUGUUUAUGUCAUACACUUCGCAUACUUUUGUGACAAGAUGAAAACCUGAAACAAACUAGUUUCCUUGAAAAAACUUAUCACUUGGGAGGCAUUACCCGAACAAAGCAAUCGUGGAAAUGAGCUCUGACGAGACCAGGAGCAAUUCCUUUAUCUUUGAGAAAGGCUUUGAGGACUUCUUCCCAUAUGAUUGAUUCUGCGCGAGGACAUCUACUGUUGUAGAAUCCCACUACUAGUUGUGCCUUAAUUUGAGAACUCAGGCAUAAAACAGUUGCUAACAGUGCAGCCAGCAGUGCCAUUUUUUGUUCUUGAUAGUGAUAUGGACCUAUGUAACUACAAGAGUUAUAUAUAGAAAUCCAUCUCCAUCACCAGGAAAACUAGCAAUUUCCAAGGCCAUAACGGCUUCAAAACAGAUAGCACUGGAAACAAGAGGAAAUGCCAAAUUUCGAGUUAAGUCCAUUCUUCACUCACGGUUAGCAGGUGUGGCCUAGAUCCCUAUUUCAUGCUUGCUUAGAAAGGAGAUUCAUUUCCCAUGACAAUAAAGAAUGAUUUGCAAAUGAUCUUAAAUGACUCUCAUUUACUAGUUACUGGACUGGCCAAUUCCUUGUUUUAUCACAGACAUGCAGAAAUCCUAGUUGUAUAAGCUCUAACCCCAGUUUUUAAAGCUGCUAUUUCUUUAUUUAAUUUCUUGUUUGCUACUUAGAUGUUUAUCAUUCAACUUUUCUUAGUUUCAACUGAAAUGCAAGAAUUAUGGCAAAGAAUGACUGUCUUCUUUUCUCUUUUUCCCUGCGAGAAAAGAAGGAUUUUAUAGGGUAAUUUAACGUAACAUAUAUAGUGGUUGACUGAAUUUGUUUCUAAAAUGCGUACCUUUUGCCCUACCAGAAAUUUUUUAGGAAUAAUAUGCUUGUCAUGCCAAUAUUUGAUCUUUUCUUUAUAAAUUUUGGCAUUUUCAUAUGCAUGUAGUCGGUGUUCCUCCAAUUCACUUAGCUCAAGUAAUCGUUUUUCUCCUGCAAAAUUACAAUCCAUGUUAAUAGAUUUAAUUGCCCAAUAAGCUUUGUGCUCAAUCUCCACAGGUAGGUGACAAGCUUUCCCAUAGACUAAACGAUACGGUGACAUCCCUAGGGGUGUCUUAAAUGCCGUUCGGUAAGCCCAUAGUGUAUCAUCUAGCUUUGUAGCCCAAUUCUUGCGUGAUUUAUUCACAGUUUUCUCCAAAAUGAGCUUUAUCUCUCUAUUAGCUAGCUCUGCUUGUCCAUUGGCUUGAGAAUGAUAUGGAAGUGAUGUCUUGUGCCUACAACCAUAUUUAAACAAUAAGGAAUCCAAUUGUCUGUUACAAAAAUGUUUCCCUUCAUCACUUACUAUGGCCUUGGGUAUACCAAAUCUACUGAAAAUAUUCUUUUUAAGGAAUCUAAGUACAAUUUUAGAGUCAUUAGUAGGUGAAGCGAUUGCUUCAACCCAUUUAGAAACAUAAUCCACUGCUACUAAGAUGUACUUAUUAUUAAAAGAACUAGGAAAUGGUCCCAUAAAAUCAAUAUCCCAUACAUCAAAUAACUCAACUUCCAAGAACGUAGUCAGGGGCAUUUCAUUCUUUCGAGAUAUAUUUCCAGUUCUUUGGCAUGCAUCACAAUUUUUAACAUAUUCCCUAGCAUCUUGGUACAUAGUUGGCCAAUAAAAUCCUGAUUGCCAUACCUUUGCCACAGUCUUUGAAGUACUGAAAUGACCACCUGUUUCAAGGUUAUGACAAUGAUAUAAAACAUUAUGUACCUCAUCUUCAGGAAUACAUCUACGUAUCAUACCAUCGGCACAAUGUCUGUAUAGCAAUGGUUCCUCCCAAAAGUAACUUUUUACGUCAUGUAAGAAUUUCUUCUUUUGAUGAUAAUUAAAUCCCUUUUGAAUCUCUCCACUGACCAAGUAGUUAGCAAAAUCUGCAUACCAUGGAGAAUUUCUAAGUGCUAGGACAAACUCAUCCGGAAAAUUCUCUUGAAUUGGAACCUGAUCUUUGAUUGGGAUAUAUUCCAAACGUGAUAAAUGAUCUGCAACUAGAUUCUCCGAUCCCUUUUUGUCUUUUAUCUCCACAUCAAAUUCCUGCAAUAAAAGAAUCCACCGAAUUAGUCUAGGUUUUGCAUCAUUCUUAUGCAGCAAAUAUUUAAGAGCUGAAUGGUCCGUAUAUAUAAUGACUUUAGAUCCUACUAAAUAGGAUCUAAAUUUGUCCAAAGCAAAUAUCACUGCCAAUAGCUCUUUUUCUGUCGUUGCAUAAUUGAGUUGAGCCUCAUUUAGCAACUUGCUAGCAUAGUAAAUGACGUGCAAUCGUCCUUCUUUCUUUUGUCCCAAAACUGCUCCAACUGCAUAAUCACUUGCAUCACACAUCAAUUCAAAUGGUAUUGACCAAUCUGGUGAAGUUAUAAUUGGGGCAGAAAUCAAUUCCUUCUUCAACCUUUCAAAUGCAACCAAACAAUUGUCAUCAAAUUGAAAAGGAGAAUCUUUACAUAAUAAAUCACAUAAUGGCUUUACUAUUUUAGAAAAAUCUUUAAUAAAACGUCUAUAAAAGCCAGCAUGUCCUAAAAAACUCCUUAUCCCCUUGACAUUGCUUGGGGGUGGCAAUUUUUCGAUGACUUCUAUUUUGGCUUGAUCCACCUCAAUUCCCUUGGAGGAAAUCUUGUGUCCUAAGACAAUUCCUUCUUUUACCAUAAAAUGACAUUUCUCCCAAUUCAGUACAAGAUUUGUUUCCUCGCAUCUCUGCAAAAUUAAUUCCAAAUUAUGAAGACACUGAUCAAAAGAUGAACCAUACACAGAAAAAUCAUCCAUAAAUAUCUCCAUAAUUUUCUCAAUAUAAUCAGAAAAAAUAGCCAUCAUGCAUCGUUGAAAAGUUGCAGGAGCAUUGCAUAAACCAAAUGGCAUUCUUCUAAAGGCAAAAGUGCCAUAAGGACAUGUAAAUGUGGUCUUUUCUUGAUCCUCUGGAGCUAUAGCUAUUUGAUUAUAUCCUGAAAAACCAUCAAGAAAACAGUAAAAUUCAUAUCCAGCUAUUCGCUCCAAUAAUUGAUCAAGAAAUGGUAGGGGAAAAUGAUCUUUUCUUGUUACCGUAUUUAACUUACGAUAAUCAAUACACACUCUCCACCCUACCACAAGUCUAGAUAGAAUUAAUUCAUCAUUUUUACCCACGAUUGUAGUCAUUCCACCCUUCUUUGGUACCACAUGAAUUGGACUAAUCCAAACACUAUCGGAGAUAGGAAAAAUUAUACCUGCGUCAAGCCAUUUAAGAAUUUCAUUUCUUACCACCUCUUUCAUGUUUGGAUUGAGUCUUCUUUGUGUUUCCACCACUGGUUUGCAAUUGUCCUCCAAUAAAAUUCGAUGCAUGCAUAUAGAAGGACUUAUACCUUUAAUGUCUGAAAUUGUCCAUCCAAUUGCCUUCUUACACCUUCUUAGAACUCUUAGCAACUUUGCACACUGUUCAUCAUCAAGGUCAGCACUAACAAUUACAGGUAAAGUUUUAUUUUCUCCAAGAAAUUCAUACCUUAGAUGAGUCGGAAGUGGCUUGAGCUCUAACCUUGGAGGUUCAAUUUCUGAAGGUUGUGAAAACCCUUUUCCUUGGCCAAGACUUUCAUACAAAUUACCCCUUUUAUAAGGUGCUUGAAAAUCCAAGUACUUGGCCAAUUCUUCAAUUUCUUCACAAACAUCUUCUUGCUUACCUAAACUCAUUAAACAAUGCUCAAGAGGAUCUAAGUCAAGGUUGACUUGACUCAUCUCUUGGGUUAGUUUAUCAAUUGUGCCAAUAGAAUAAGCAUGAUCGGUAAAAGAAGGGUAUUUUUCCAUUUCAUUCAAAUUAAAUUCUACUUCUUCUUCACCUACUUGAAACUUAAGCUUGCCAUUUUUUACAUCAAUAAUAGUACCUGCAGUAGCUAGAAAUGGUCUACCUAGAAUAAUUGGCAUAGAUAUAUCUUCUUCCGUAUCUAAUACCACAAAAUCCACUGGAAUGAUAAAUUUUUGAACUUUUAUCAAUACAUUCUCCAACACUCCCACUGGAUAUCUAAUAGACCGAUCCGCUAGUUGCAAAGUAAUAUUUGUGCGUUUAAGCUCAUGCAAACCCAAUUGUCUAGCCACCGUUAAAGGUAUUAAUGAUACACUAGCACCAAGAUCACACAAUGCUUUAGAAAAAUCAACGUUACCUAUGGUGCAAGGUAUAGAAAAACUCCCUGGAUCCUUCAACUUCGGUGGUAGCUUAUUUUGAAUAAUUGCACUACAUUCCUCCGUUAAUGCUAUUGUUUCGCAGUCUUCCAACUUUCUUUUUCUAGUCAUGAUUUCCUUGAGAAAUUUCGCAUAAGACGGAAUCUGCAAAAUAGCAUCGGCAAAAGGAAUGUUAAUGUGCAAUUGUUUGAAAAGUUUAACAAAUUUUUCAAAAUCUUUAUCAAACUUAUUUUGCUUUAAUCUUUGUGGGAAUGGAACCGCAGGGGGUAUUGGAAUGGUAGUGGAAGAUGAUGGUUGCUUUUCUCUUGGAUUCUCCCGACUAUUUUCCUCCACAAUCGCCUCUUGGUUCCACUGCUUUUCUUCUUGUUUUUCAUUCUCAUCCUUCUCAACUUCCUUCACUGGAGGAUCUUCUAAUUGUCUACCACUACGAAGAGUAAUGGCUUUCACAUGCUCCUUAGGAUUGACCUCUGUUUUGCUAGGUAAUUCUCCUUGAUUUCGAUUAUUCAAAGAACUAGCAAUUUGACCAAUUUGGACCUCUACAUUCCUGUACAUUGUAGUGAGUUGGUCCAUCCUUCCUUCUACUCGCUCAAAUCUGUCCGAGGUAACUUUUGCAAGCUUUUCCACUGCCAUCUCCCAACCAGAUUUAGUUUCAGCUUGUUGUUGCCUUGAUUGAAAUCCCGGUGGAUUGGUUGGCCUUGGUUGAUUUCCUUGAUCCUUCCAUCCAAAGUUUGGAUGAUUUCUCCACCCCGGAUUGUAAGUAUUCGAGUAGGGGUUAUUUUGAGCAUUACGAUUGUAAUUAUUGACGAAUUGUACCUGUUCAGAAUCAACACACUCAUUAGUAUCAUGUUCACCUCCACAUACAGAACAGCAUGCUACAUGUGCAUUAGAUGAGCUUGGACCUUGUCUACUUAGCAAUUUCAUCACAUUAUUCAUUUGAGCACUCAGCAUAUUAAGAGUGUCCAUUUCUAUCAUACCUGCGUGACGUCUUGCAUUACCUCUCUCAUUGGCCCAUUGGUAGUUAUUUGCUGCCAUUUCUUCUAUCAAAUUAUGAGCUUCUUGGGGUGUUUUACCCAUUAAAGCUCCACCUGCAGCUGCAUCGAUCAUAGUUUUAGUAGAAAAAAUUAAACCAUUAUAGAAGGUUUGUAUGAUUAACCACUCCGGCAGUCCAUGAUGUGGACAUUUCCGAAGCAGAUCUCUAAACCUUUCCCAUGCCUCAUAUAAUGAUUCACCUUCUAAUUGGCUAAAACUAGUGAUAUCCAUUCUAAGCUUAGCAGUCUUACCUGGUGGAAAGUACUUAUUUAAGAAUGUUCUUGAUAAUUCAUCCCAUCCAGUGAAAGUAUUGGGAGCAUGAGAGUGUAGCCAAAGUUUGGCCUUAUCUCUCAAUGAAAAUGGGAACAAUCUUAGCCUUAUAGCAUCAUCACUAACUCCAUUCAUUUUAAUUGUAUCACAAAUUUCCAAGAAUGUAGCUAAGUGUGUAUUAGGAUCUUCUACUGCAUUACCUCCAAAUUGAGAUUGUUGAACCAUUUGGAUAAGUGAAGGUUUAAUCUCAAAGUUGUUAGCAUUUACCGCAGGCCUUGCUAUGCUCGUUUGUGAACCUUGUGUUCCCGGUAUAGUAAAAUCUCGCAGAACUCGCCUAUUUAGGUCAUUUUCCGCCAUUUCUUCUUCAAAUGGUAAUUCUAUCAAGAUAUCUUCUAUUGGCUGCCAAACCUCUUGUUCCUCUUGAUGCAGUGUAUUCCUCCUUUGUCUCCGCAAUGUUCUUUCAAUUUCAGGAUCAAAAUGUGCAACUUCUCUAUUUGAUCGGUGCAUGCACUACAAAUAAAAAUAAGAGAAAUUUUUGUAGUUUUAAUUCAACAACUUGGAUAAAAACAAAUGAAAAUGUCUAAAUUAAUAGAGAUGACUAGGCCCUAAUAUUGCCGCUCCCCGGCAACGGCGCCAAAAACUUGACGGGUUCUUAUUGUAUCAAUGCAAGUUUAAUUCCGAUUUUACACCCGUUGGACUGCAAGUAUACAGGUCGAAAUUUUAGUACAAGAUGUGUAUCGGGUCGAUCCCACGAGGAGCAAUUUAAACAAUUACUAAGCCCCUGUUCUCUCUAUUAUUUAGACUUACCAUUAAUUUUGAGCAGAGAAAAUCUAAUGCUGUAAUCUACAAAUCUGAUGUACAAAUCUAGUUUAACAAAUGCUGAAUGCAAAUAGAGAAAUUUCACUUAAUGAAGAUUCUAGGGAUGUAGAUUCCACUUAUGGCAUAAACUACACAAAUAAAUGGAUUUACUUAUUGCUAUUAUUCUUGCUUAACCAGAGAUUUAUUUCCAAGAUUACCAAGUCUCAUUUCCAUGAUGAAAUGGCUUAGAGCAACAUAGAUUUCCCUAUUUCCAUGGUGAAAUACUACUACAACUCUGUUUUAGUUCAUGAAAUACUAAGUAAUCCACUUAAGUGUAUUUCUAUUUUCAUGAACAUACAACUCAAGCUCUACUCAUGUGUUUCCAUUGUUAUUACCAAUUCUCAUUGAACAAUAACAACUGUAAACAAGUUAUUGGUGAUCAAACAAUAACAAGAAAUCACAGCUACACAAGUAGACAAGUUAACUCAAGAUAUAACAAGUGUAAAUCACAUUCAAUUAGUAUUAUUUAGCCAUAAGUUUCAUCUACUCCCUAGAUGAAGGAGUUUAGCUACUCAUGAAUGAUUUAACAAUCAAAUUCACAAGUUUAUUAAUACAAAACAUCAUAAAGUACAAGUAUAAGAAAGAUAAAAGAAAGCUUAGCCAAUUGAAGGUGAAGCUCUCCAAUUCCUGCUAUGUUCUUGCACAAUAUGAUUACAAGUGAAAACUCUCCAAAAAAUGCUUCUCCAAGUACUCCUAACUAGAGAGAAAACUUGUUGCAAGAAGGAAAACUAGCUACGUAUGGUUAUCCUUGCUUCUCCCUUGUGUUUCUGCAUAAAAGGUGGUAGAAAUUCCAUUCCUCUCACUUCAUAAUUUCCUCCACUUAGAUUUUGUAAAAAGAAGUCAAAGAUAUGAUGUUCCUUUUGUCCACACUCAUUUGGUCUUCUCUUUAUUGCAGAAGCAUGUGCCACCGAUUUCUGUCCCUCAAAAUAGCUGUAAAAGUUGUGAGAAAGGUAAAGAAAAACGGCUGUGCCACUUGCUGAGGAGAGAGACAGAUCCGAGCCUCGGAUCCGAGGAGUGAUAAUGGAUCCGAGCUCGGAUUACAGGAUCCGAGGCCUUCCCAUGAUGGAUCCGAGGUCGGAUCGUCCUGACCUCGGAUAUACUCCGCCAGAAGUACAGACGAGGGGUCGGAUCCCUCUUGUACACACGGAUCCGAGCUCGGAUCCGUGUUGAACAUUUUUCCAGUUUUUCACUUCUUCCCUUUUUCUACAUUUUUGCUCCCACUUUCUUGUGUACUUUGUCCUCUGGAUGACCCUGACAUUUCUUUCAACUUGUGCAUGAAUUUCAUACAUCAAUUACCUUCACAAUUUCACAAAAUUACGCAUUAAUCACUCAUUUAUCAAUUUCUUAACUCUUAAACAAUAUUUAAGCAAUUAUCACCAAAAGAAUUUAAAUAUGGCUUUAAUCUUCUCAAAACAUACCAAAAAUUCAUGCCAAAUUCAUACAAAAUGUACGUUAAAUAUUCACUUAUCAACAACCCUACUUCUAACUGGAGAAAUCGAGUACAGGUCCGAAAAUGAUUUUAGUCCAAUCUAUAUAUAGCUUGUUGAGGCUUUACAUUGUUAUCCAAUAUGAUUUUAGUCCUUGUGGGUUAGAGGUGGCAAUAUAGAUAAAUGGUUUAUAAUUGGUUUUGACUUAAUGGAUUAAAUAAAAACCAAUUAUCCAUUUAUAAUCCAUUUAAAUAUUUUGAUUACUUUUUUUUUUUUGUAUUACCAUUUCUUGUAAUAUGAAGAUACUUUUUUAUGUACUUGUAAAUUUUAGUUGUUGAAAAUGACAAAAAUCAAUAAAUGACAAAAAUAAUUGGAACUAACCAUGAAGAUUGUUGUACAAAUAGCCAUAUGGUAAUUAAUGGGGGAUUAAUGGGGAUUGAAUCAUAUCAUAAUCUAAGGAGGGAGGUCAACCCGACACAGUUUGUUACUUUUUUGCGCACUUAUCAAGCCUAAAUCCUUAAGUUGGGUUAAAACCAGAAUGGAACACAAGCAUUUAGUCAUACUGGAAAGGUAAAGGCUGCCUUUCUUUAUUUGUCACUUCUGAGCAAGACUUAAGCAGGCUGUCUUUUUUGUACACAUAUGGUGGCGAUGUGUGUUGCUAGUUGCCAUCAUCAUCAGCAUGUUCAUAAGGCCGGUGGAAUAAAUGCGGAGGAGGCCAACACUAAGGAACAGAGGAAUGAGAUAGAGUUGAAAAACAUGUAACAAGAAAUCCUUUCCUUUUCUUUUAUUUGGUUUUUAAGUAAAUGGAUAUAUAUGGCUUUUGUGGAUAAUCCAUAUAAAUCCAUUUAAUUUAAUGAUUUUAUUUUGGUCAACCAUUUAAAACCAACACUAUAAAUGGAUAAUCCAAAUCCAUUUAAUUAUGGAUUAUAUGGAUGGAUAAAUGGAUCUCAAUCCAAAUUGUCGUCUCUAUUGUGGGUUUGAGUUAAGGCGUGGUUUAUGUAUACACAUUCAAAAAUAACAAAACAGGAUGGUAAGAUUAUGUCCAAGGUUAGUCAUCAAGUCAGCAAUCGUUGAAAACAAUUUGUAGACGCAAUAUAUGUACUAACACAAUAGAUAUAGAUAUUUAAAUAUCAAUUAUGGACACUAAAAAAAAUAAAAACACAGUUUCUAAUGCAAACACUAUAUUAAUAUUUGCACGUCGUUGUCUAAGUGUCUACAUUUGAUAAUUUGAUAUGUACAUUACGAUCGUUCUUGUAAUUUUUUUUUCUUGUAGUCGAGAACAGAACUGAAAGCUAUAUUACGUUGUAGACAAAUAAAAUUUAUUUAGUCAAGAUUAAAUGAAUUGAAUUGAUCUUGAUUAAAUUAAAUUAAAUUGUAUAAGUCCAUUAUGUUUUGGACUGUCAAAUUGGGCCAAUAUUAUAUGGGCUAUUAAGUCAAAUUAAAUUUGUAAUGUCCAUUUAAAUUGAGUGAAUUAAUUGAUUUAUUCACAAUUGACUAUUUAGAUUGGCCCAUUAUUUAAGCCCAAGUUCAAUGGAUUUCUUGAGGAACAAGUGAUCCAAAAAUGCAGGGGAUUCUGGGGGUUUUCUUGAAGACCUAGCCUACAUAUUUUGGCUAUAAAUAAAGGUCUUGCCUCAAGGCAAAGAUAUAGAAAAAUCCCUAACGUUUGGAGAAACUCUGUCAAAUUCUCUCAAGAGCUUUUCCUUCUAUCCAAGUCCAAAUCAAGUCAAACAAAUCCUCUUGCCAUUGGUGCUGAAGACUUAAGAGUUCCAAGUGUUCAACGUCAUCAUCAAGUCAAUCGUUUUCUACGCCGAAAUUGUAGGAAACACCCUUUCGAUUGGAGAACAAGCCUUUCGGCCCUUCAAUUGAAGCUAUUCGAAGAGAAGAAUCAGGGGAUUAAUUUCUUUGAUUCAAGAAUUUUCAGAGAUUGUAACCCGCUCAUUAUUUGAUUCAAUCAAUUUGAUAUUUGUGCAAGUUUUCUUGUCUUUUAUUUUAGGCAAUAAAAUUUGUGUUUGUAAAGCAAAUGGAUUAACUGCUCUCAAGGGCUUCAAAGUUUCUUUAACCUUAAAAGAACCUGAACAACAAGCAGUCCAGAUGGUUUGGUCUCCAUUUUCAGGAUAUAUAAGGUACAAAUUAAGAGGUUAGCAGUAGCAAGCUGCUGCUUGAGCAUUCUGACCUGAUCAGCUAACAAUUCACAAGCCUCGAGAAGUCAUGGGUUAAAGUUCUUGCAAGAUUUUGUCGUUGAUCAGUUUAGUGAGGUUUGUCUGCCUGAUGUGGAAAACGGAAUCUUGGGUUUGAGACCUAAUUCCAUACCAUCAAUAAAUCUGCCAAGAAACCAUUUAGAAUUCUUAUGUGUUGUUCGUGUAGUUAUGAUUUUAGUAUUUAUAUUCAUUCUUUUAUUUCUUAGUAUCCUUUUGAACAAGGGCUUGGAGCCGCUAGUAGCAAGAUUUUGUUUUUUUUUUCUUUCUGACAUUUUCUUACGAAAGUAAGAAUUUUUGGCAAAUAAACCUAACAAGAUUUUGUUGAAAUCGUGCUUCUUGCAAGUGUAGAGGAAGCUCAACAGGUGCUGGCUACAGAAGGAUGCCAUGCUGGUCAAUAGUACUGGUUGCCUUUCGCUAGGCUGAAUCCUAAGGGGUCUCAAACCACAUCCCUAUCCUGAUUCACUUUGGACAGCUGCGUGAAAUUUUUAGUAGUUUUGUGUUCUAUUUGUUUGCCUUUUCCUUGCAUAUUUCAACUGGCUUAAAUAGGCCUAAUUAAAGGUUAUUGUAAUUAAUACAUCGUUAUCAAGACUAAUUACCAAUUAUUCUAUUGGUUAAUUAAGCCCUGUUCUCAUGAAUUAAUGCACUCAAAGGUUUUCUUGAACCCUUUUGAAACAUUCUUGAAAGUCAUGAAUCGUGCAUCACUUUGUUUAGGAUUCGAUUCCCUAUCGCUAAUUAUUUAAGUUGAGUUGGUAAUUAGGACAUCUAGUGGUCAAGUUUAAAUACCACAAUCGCCAUUUGUAUUACUAUAUAUUAAGUAAAAUUUAUUAAAUUAUUUAUCAAACUAAAUAUAUAAAAGAAGAAUAUUCACUGAAGUUAUUUAUUCUUCUUGGAUUAAUUAGAAGAGGACUUUAAAAAGUGACCACACGGACAUACCUGACUUUAUAUGCUAAUAAAACUAAAAAAGGCUCCAAAACCCGGUCUUAGUACAACUAGUACAGCUUCAUGCCAGAAUCCUUGACACCCCCAAGGUGGCUUUUAUGCAAGAAAGGGAGAAAAAAACUAAACAAAACCAAAAAAGACAGAGGAAAAGAAAUCUAUAGAUGGUGCCUGAAAUGUAAUCACAUCCAUAUAGCGUUGGCUUCGAUAAGCAGUGGCUUCAACUUGCCCUUAACAUUGAGGCUCAUAACCUCAUUGGAACCACCAACAAAAAUCUUACCUAUGAAAACAGCAGGAACACUAGGAUUACAUCCUAAUGUUAGCAAUGCAUUCUCAACUUCUCUUCCUUUUGGAAGUUGAUCAAGCUCAUAAACCGUAGGGUUCGCGCCAAAGCUGCUUAUCAGAAUCUUGAUAGCAUGGGAAAUGCAGCAGUUGCUCUUGCUGAAGAUCACCACUGGCUUUUCUGACCCCAAUUUCCUCACUGUUUCCAUUCUACUUUCUAUAAAACUUGCUAGUCAAGAAGUUAAAAAGUUCGAACUACUACUUGAGUUGAUAGGAAGUUUAUGACUUGGUUUGAGAAAAAUCCUGAAUUGUACAAAGGUAUAUAUAGAGGGCUAAGGAUGAUGGAUUGUAAUACUUCUGUUCAGAUAGGAAAAGUGGGAAAUGUGUCAGAUUUUGCUUCUAAAGUUGAUGCUUCAGAAAUAUCAGCAGCUAUUCGAAUAGGGUAAAGGUUCAAUCUGUCUUAUGUAACACAUAGAAUCUUAAGUUGCGUUAGCAUGCUGACAACAUAAAAAUUAGAAAAGUAGUAGUGGAUGAUUUCUUCUUUUACUAGAAAGAUUCUAAGGCCUGGAAGGUUUACUAUGGAUCACGAAUUCAGUUAGAUUUGUCAAUAUCAAAGAAAUUCUUACAGCACGUACGAUCCCUUGAAGUUUCCAAAGAAUUUCUUACAUCGCAUCAAUUGACGAUGGAAUGAAUAAUAAGACAGCUUUCUUUUUUUUUUCUUUUUUUCUUUAAAAAGUUAGUGAUUAAUAGUAACUUAUAGUUCAAAAUUAGUAGGUAAAUGCACCCCUUGAUAUGCGCAGCUGUCUAUGGUUUCAGCAAGUUGAAACAGAAAUAUAUAGACUAUUAUACUUGCAUUGUGAGAAUAUUAAUUGCAAAAAGAAAUUUUAUGACAACCCUUGCAUCAUUUUAUGAGACAUUUAUAAGAUAUUGUUAUUUUAUCUUUUGUACUUGUGAGAGUGUGAACAAAGCAAGUUAAUCAAAAUUGGGGAGUUGUUAUAAAUUCCUCUCUCUGCUUUGGUUUGGGAUAAGUUUGUACAGAUGGUAAUUAUAAUUUCAAGUGGAUUAAGCCAUGGAGGUGUUUGAUUGUAUUUUUGAAUCGGAUUCAAAAUUGCAAUAGGAAUCACAAUCAUAAACCCCACUAUUGGUACAGGUUUUCAUCACUUUCUCUUAUAUAUAUAUAAACAAAACCAGACAAAAAAUAAAUUUGCUAUAAAUACCCCUCAAUCCCAACACAAACACACACAAUUUCUUCAAGACUACUUCUCUCUCUAGUUUGAAGAAUUUAUAUAUAUAUAUAUAUAUAUAUAUAUAUAUAUAUAUAUAUAUAUAUAUAUAUAUAUAUGAACCGAAAUGGGGUUCAUUCUAUUAAUGAGUUGAUUACUUUGAAAUCUAAUUGGUAAUCAGUGAGGAAUGAUUGGGGCCAAUAUAUAACAUUCGUAUUUUCAAUGAAUGAUUUUUAUUGUGGUCUAUCAAACAAUAGAUAUAAUUGAACAAAACAAAACGUUGGACUUCCCCAAGUGAACAGAAUAUAAUUCCUUAGACUCAGUGCACAUGUUGAAAGAAAGGAUAUUUCUCAUGACCGACCCCGACUCAGGGUCGAUGUCAGAUGCAUCCCAGUGAAAGCAUCCAUUGACUGUGGCAGGGAAACAUGGGGGAUAAAUGUUCACUACUUGUGGAAGGAUAAGAUCAACCUUUCUCCAAGAAUUUGUACAGAGCUUGUAUAUUUGAACUCCCAUCACCAUCCCCAAAUAAGAAUAAUUACUUCUUGAUUUUGGAUAAAGUUUAUAUAGCUUGACUACCUUGUAAUCUUGGGUGGAUGGAUCAAAGCCAAACCCUAAAGCAUGUGGACUGACCGAUUUGAACCCUUUUGGUGGAUCAAAGCGGAGGCUUGGAGGAAGUGUCAGGAAUUGGCGUGUUGCAGGAUUACACAGAUGAAUUUCGGAGAGAUCCGAGAAGCAAACGAUGCCAUUGCACGCUCCAUAUAUGUCGAAUGAGUAACGAUUCCACGAAGGUAGCUCUAUAUUAGGGGCAACACUGGGGAGAGAUUCAUCUUCAUCGUGAGAAUGGAAUGAUAACAGGGUUUUGAAUUCGUUCUUGAUGAACCGCUUGACGAGGACGACUUUGCGAUUCUUGCUGUGUAAGUAUUUCAGAUGCUUGUCUUCAAAAUAAGGGCUGUUGAUCAAAGCGAACCAUGUUUUAGAGACGCAGCAGAAUCUCAACAAUGUCUUGACGGGCAGUUUCACGAGGAUUUCUGCCAGGGCAUCCUCCGGCAACGAAUUCACCAUAGUAGAAUAAAAUUCAGGAGUGGAAUCGAUGAAUGGAUUUUGGGAUUUUGUAGAGAAUCCACUAAUUAAUAUGAUGGUCCUUGUCCAAGUUCAUGGGCGAUUUCAAGCGUCCAAAACAGAGAGAGAGAGAGAGAGAGAAGGGUUUCAAAGCCGAUGAGUUGGGCUUUAGGGUUUAGCUCCGAUUAUUGCUUAAGAGGGAAAAAAUUUUUGGGUUCUCAGAUGAAAUAUGACACGUACGACGACGUUUCUAGCUCCAAAUCCAUGUUGAUGAGGAUUAAACGGAAAUUGAUGAGAAGAGAAUGAUUCAACUCCGCAAUUAAACCUAAUUUUCUCAAGUAUGAGUUGUCAACUCAUUACUUCGCCAGCAGAUAUCAUACGGAACAUUACACGUAAUUUUUUCUUUUAAAGAUGGUACAAGUUCAUCAUAUAAAUACUAGUCAGUCAAAAUUACGCAUAAGAAUUUAGUGAAAUUAAUCAUAUAAAUUUAUGCGUAAAUGAUACAAUUAUAUAUAUAUAGUAAAUCUUUCCUACAUUGACGGUGGAUACACUAUCAUCGUUGAAUUCAUGACAUUUAUGCAAAAGUUAAAUUUCAACUUUAAAUUUUACAUAGUUGUCAUUCAUCCAACGCUGAUAAUGUAUACACUGUCACUAUAGAAAAGAUUAAUCCAUAUAUAUAUAUAUAUAUGAUGAAACUAAAAGUAUGGAAAAGAUUAUUACAAUUCUCGGAGACUAUGCUGUAUUAGUACCAAUACGAGCUCGUAUCCUUCAUUAUGAGAUAUUAAAAUUAUUAUUAUUUCAUCACCUUAUUAUUUUUAUACCUAUAAAAUUUAUGAUUUAAGAAGUUGCUAGAUUGUAUAUAACUCGGAAGGUAUGCUAUUAUCUUUGUACAAAUUUUAAAACUUUUUAAAAAUUGAAGUAUAAUUUGUGAAAUAUAAUAUACCAAAAGUUUAUUACAUGUUUUAUAUAGAUUAGUUGAAAAGUAUGAGUAUUAUUCAGAAUAACUUUUAAAUGAAAUUUUUUUUUUUAUUAUACAGAUUAACAGGUAUAAUACGAGUUCUUAAUAACUAGGUUUUCAAAUUACUACAACCAAUCUAGCCAGACUAUUCACAGCUAUCCAGCAAAUCAAAAGUCCUGAGAGAACAAAAUUAACUAUUAACUCAUUUCAUUUCCAAUUGAUCAGUUAAAAUUAAAAAGCUUAAAUCACAUCCUUCAAAGCAAAACUACCAGGGAAGAUAAUUAAUUAAGUAAGCUUAUCUCUUAUCCCUUCCCACUUAAAAUAAAAACCUCAAACAAACAAGAUGUUAAUAGGACAAUUGGGCAUUAAAUACCAUCAUUGACUAUAACCUUAUUAGUGCAUCAAAAUCAGAACGGUACAUGGAAUAUCUGACUUGCAUUUCAUAUUACAAUGACUAAAAGUCACUCAAAACUCAAUAAAACUUAGACUUAAUAAAAAUGGUAGGAGUCCAUGCUCAAGCCCUACCUGAAUUUGGGUUGCUUUGCUCAAAAGGAAAAGACAACAAUUUAAAUAGCAAAACCAAAUCCUUUGGGCGCUUAACUAUAUUCUGGUUAUUACAUCCAUAUAGCCUUUGCCUCGAUAAGCAAUGGCUUCAGCUUGCCUUGAAUAUUGAGGCUCAUAACCUCAUUGGAACCACCAACAAAUAGUUUCCCUAUGAAAACAGCAGGAACACUUGGAUGGCAUCCUAAUGCUAGCAAUGCAUUCUCAAUUUCCCUUCCUUUAGGAUGUUGAUCAAGCUCAUAAACAGUAGGGUUCGCGCCAAAGCUGCAUAACAACAUCCUAAUAGCAUGUGAAAUGCAGCAAUUGCUCUUGCUGAAGAUCACCACUGGCUUUUCUGACCCCAAUCUCCUCACUGCUUCCAUCCUACCUUUGACAAAAAAAAAGUCUAGUCAAGAACUUCAGAAUAUGCACUAUUAUUGAGUUGAGAAUUGAGAGGAAGUUUGAGGCUUGGUUUGAACAAAACCUGAAUUGCAUGAGGUAUAUAUAGAGGCCUAGAGCCAUGGAAUUGUACAUAGUUUUAUUCAAGCAGGAAUUCUUAUGAAAGCUGUAAAAAUUUGCUUCCAGAGUUGGUGUUUGGAUUGGAAUCUAUAGUAUAGUACCUUAAUGUGUCUCACACAGAAUAGAAUCUCAAUUAGUUGCAUAAACAUUUUGAGGUUUGCUUCUUAUGACGGAAAGUGAAAGAAUUAAUAGAUGAUAACAGUCUCCUUCCUUUACUAGAAGAUUAUGAUGGCAAAAGGAUACAUGGCUCGUGGAUUCCCUUAGAUUGUCAAAAUCAAAGAAAUUCUUGCUUUGCUGUUAUUUUGUAUAGCGCCACCAAAUUUAGGGCUUCUUUAUUGCAAAAAUUGACUAUGACAAGUGAUCAUAAAGAAAAAUCAAAAUCAGUCAAAACCACUUUCAGGGAGAUUCUAAAUUUCAAUCCUUUUGGUUAUUAAAAAUGUUAAAUUAUGAAUACAAAAGCAAAUGAGAAAAUCAACCAAACAGACUGUCUAAAAUAUCAGAACCUAAAAUCAGUGGAUGAAAUAAUCAAAUGACAACAAAUAUUAGCUUUUUGCACUAAAGGCCUCAGAUCAGCAGGUACAGUCAAAAUAUGGACAAUUAUGCUAUGACUUUGCACGUGUAAUUUGUACAGCAUAGGCAUGCCCUAAAAUGACUUUAAUUCUGAAAUCAAAUUAAUAAGAAACAGCAAAAUAUUACAAAAAUUUGAGUCAUGAAUUCCAAAUAACUGAAAAAGAAGAAUGAACAGAAUCUUCAAGCAAGUGAAGAUAAAUGCACCCAUUUUAAUAAAAAGACAUUGCCUUCUUCUUGACCGCUGGUCAUGAUAUGUACCAAAACUUGCUUCAACUUAGCAUUAAUUAGACUUCUCCAGAUGAACGGAACCAAAUCCUUAGAUUGUGUAGAGAGAAUCCAUGUAAAUCACAUCCUUUUGGGCUUGCUAAGUAUGACUACUUUGCCUUUUAUUUCUUUUAAGCAGAUGAAGUAUACAUUGUAUUGCAUCUAAGACCACUGAUAAAAAUGGGAGAAAUAAAUUGUUCAGCAAAAGUUGAUUCCCUUUGGUUUUUUCUUUUGGAAGAAAGGGAUUCUUGGCCACCCACCCAAUUGACGGUACAGCAUAGCAUCAUAACAUGGACUAAAGCACAAUGGUAUGGUUCAGAAAUCCGUACAAAAGGCAGAAAAAAGUGCCAAGAAGGGGUAGUAAUAGCAGAUUCCCCCCUUGUGAGAGAUAUAUUUCGACUCUAAGCCAAAAGAGAUGCCUUUCUUGAUUUCCUCCCCAUGAUAAAUACAUCAAAUAAUGUGAAUGAUCAAAUCACAUAAACUUGUUCUGUUCUACACCCUUUACGUUUUCAUCCUCGGAACUAUUUUAUUUUAAACACUUCAUACUGAAAAGUUAUCAAAAUGUUCAAAAUUAUCCAAAAUGGUUGUUAAUUUUAUCCAUAAAAGUGAGCAAGAACGUAUAUGCUUUCACUAAAUUUUGUGUGGGUUUCAUGGAUUUUGAUGUCAAAUUUCAGGAUACCGUUCAUAUAGUUUCAUUAUACAUAUUUUGAGAUAAAUAUGAAGCAUUCAAAGAUUGGAAGUGUAAAGUGACACUAAAUGGUUGUCAAAAAUACUGCCAAGAUGUCAGGAAUGAAAAAACGUUUAAGUGUAAAAUGUGCAAUCUUUUAAAACAUAAUAGAUUUAAAAGUGAAAUUCAUUAGUUUCUAUACUUCUAUAUUCACCAACAGGUUGUAGACUAGCCACCCAAGAGAAUAAAAGGUAGUUGCUUGCUCCUACGGGGUAGUCCAGUGGUAAGCGAACUCUUAAGAACUCCUUUGAUUCUAGGUUCGAAUCUUAUCCUGAACUUAAACUCCCGUGACUCGCCCGGGUGUGUUGCGUGAGGCCGUGGCGUACUCCUUCGGUUUGAUGUGUCGGUUCGAAUCCUACGUGGUUCAAGUCGAGGCAUGUUCCGGUUACCAAAAAAAAAAAAAUAGUUGCCUACCUCUUUCCAAACCAAAAAAAAAAAAAAGAAAAAUAUCCCGUUAAGAUAUGAGAGAGAAGUAUUGGGAGACAUAGGGAAUGAAGGCUAGAUACCGCUAUAUCCUCCAAGCUGCUUGUAAAGGUACUAAUUAAUUACUUCUUGAAGAUGAAAAAUCACGUCUUCAGUUAGUCUUUAUUCUUGUAAGCAGCCAUAAAAAUCAAAUCAAAGCCGACCAUAAUGCUAUAAACUUGACCAGUAUGAUGUAUAAUAUUUGCAUAUUAAGCAACUUGUAAAGGUGUUAAUUCAUUAGUUCUCAAAGAUGACAAAUCACGCCUUUAGUCUCUAUUCUUACUAAGCAGCUGUAAAGAUCAAAUUAAACCCGACACAUAAUGCUAUAAAAUUGAACGGUAUGAUGUAUAAUAUUUGCAUGUUUCUCAGUACUACUUAAUAUAUGAUAAAAAUAAAUAUGAAAAAGAAAGUUAUUUAUCUUGAAUAUAGAAUACAAAAAUUUUUGGGAGUCCGACUAACAAGCUUCUAGUAUAUAUCUAACAAUCGACAUUGGAAAAGUUAUUUGAUUUUCAAUUUUUCUUCAGAGUCAAUAUAAGCUCGUUAAUUCCGUGUUCUAAUCGUGCAAUUAACUAAUUACACUCUCUGGACAGGUUUUUAAGGUCUCGAUUUGUUAGUCGACCCAAUUUCCAUGUCGGAUGGAAUUAAGGUAGACAAGGUAUAUUUGUACGUUAAUACUUUAGCGUCCAUGUUAAUAUCUUAGUGUCCACAUUUAGUCUUUUGUGGGUGUAUUUAUUGCAUUACUUCUUAAAGCAUAUGGUCCAAUCUCCACCGGUAAUUUUUUUCCUUUUUUUUUUGGUUGACAAGAGAACCCGUAGCUGCUACUCGAAAGUGCGCACUGGAUAAACUCUUCCCCGUGCAAUAGCCCGCCAUGUGCAUGAGGCCAUAGGCAUUAUAUUUUCACUCAUUUUUCCAAGAGUAGAAUGAGACUGAAUAUUAGAAGAAACUCUACUAAAUUAUUGACUACUCCAUUCUCCAUUGGGGUGAUAGUUCAGUAGUUGAUUGAUGUCUGCUACCGUAGAAGAAGUCCAAAAUCUAACAUUGAAAUGAAAAAAAAUAACCAUCUCAAUCCGAGCUUAUGCCAACAUACUAACUGAGAUACUAAGUUGUAAACAUUAACAUACAGAAACACUUCUGCCUUUUUUUUUCCUGCCAAGUAUUGUCUCACUAUAUAUUGCUUAAAUUACCAAUUCGGUGUAGUUGCCUUCAAUGUACUAAGUCAACAAUAAGUCAAACUAAUCUUGCAACACAAAAAAAUAAAAAAUAAAAAAUAAAAUACAAGCAGAUUAAUUUAGUUUAAUAUCCAAUAUCACUACUUUGCCAUUCCACUUGAAACUAAAGAACCUCGUUGAGUUUACUUUUCUAAUAAAGCAAAAAGUAUGAGAGAAAUAAAGUGCCACCUAUAUAUAGCCCCCCCCCCCCCCCCCCAAAAAAAAAAAAAAGAAAACCCCACAAACAAAAAUUUUGGUUAGAUCACCUUUAGUCACUAAAUUAUUUAAGGAUCUAAUUUUGUGUACUGAAUUUCUUUUCUUCUUCGUUGUCUCAGUUGGAUCUUACAAUAGUCAUUGCACGUAAUUGUUGCCAUUUUUUUGAGAAAAUGCAAUUACGAAACUAUUUCAGAGUUUGAUUUCACCUAUUAAUUAAAUUUGUCUUCUUUUUCUCUCUUAAUUUUUUUUUUUUUGGUGUCCUUAUACACAUAGAAUUCUUAAUAUGUAUUAGGGAUUUCUUGAAAACUGAAGGACAUGCAUGCCCAUGAUAUGAUAGUAUGCAAGGGACAUCAACUCAGUUAACUUAAGAAAUGACCAAGAAAGCAUGUUUAAGAGUUCAAUGAGUAAACUGACCCAAAAAAUAAGUAAAUAAAUAAGAAGGUCUGGAGGAAAAAGCAAACUUUUGACAUUGUUUGGUGACAUAUUUUGACUUCCACUUGAUAAACCAUACAAAAACAAAGAUACUGCAAUACAAAAGUAUCUGGCACCCUUAGUACAUCAAAAUCAAAAGGUAGAGACAUAGAAUAUCUAACUCACAUAUUAUAAUACAAAAAAACACCUGUAGGAGUUUAUACUAUCCAAGAUUCUUAGUGGCUUUCUUUAGAAGGAAAAAAAAAAAAAAAAGAACCGAGGCUAAUUCAUUAGAUGUUUCAGAACAUCUGAUUAAUCUCACAUCCAUAUAGCGUUGGCCUUGAUAAGCAGUGGCUUCAACUUGCCCUGAACAUUGAGGCUCAUAACCUCAUCAGAACCACCAACAAAAAGCUUCCCUAUGAAAACAGCAGGAACACUUGGAUGGCAUCCUAAUGCUAGCAACGCAUUCUCGAUUUCCUUUCCUUUUGGAUGUUGAUCAAGCUCAUAAACCGUAGGAUUCGCCCCGAAGCUGCUUAACAACAUCUUUAUAGCAUGGGAAAUGCAGCAGUUGCUCUUGCUGAAGAUCACCACUGGCUUUUCUGACCCCAAUCUCCUCACUGCUUCCAUCCUAAUAUUGGGAUUGAAAAUUUGCACUAGUAGUAUUUGAUUUGAGGGGAAUUUUAAGGCUUGCUUUGAGGAAAAUAUUGAAGUGCAUGCAGGUAUAUAUAGAAGGUUACCUGAGAAUGAUUGCAGUAAUUUUCUCAAGGAAACACUAAAAGGGUUCUAAGAUCUUGUUACAAAAAUUGAUGCCUGGAGCAUAUCAGCCACUAUACGGAAAAAAUUGACAGGUCCUGAGGCUAUGAAUCCUCUGUUACACACUAAUGUAUAAUACCUAUGUUACACCUAUAAAUCCUCUAUUAUACAUUAAAGUAUAACACCUAUGUUAUAUAUUUUGAAACAUUGAUACGUGUACUUUUCAAGAGUUCAACUUAGCUAGAAACAUAAUGAUAAUAAUUCAAAAGGAACAGACGUCAAUACAUCAAAGGGCAUAAAAUGAAUGUUGCAUACUAUGGUGCACCAGAAAACCCGUUGCCAUCUCACGACUACAUAGAAUCUCAACUUGCUUGAAGAUUCUGAAAUGGAAAGUUAUAGUGGAUGAUAACAGUCUUUUGCCUUUACUGAUUCUGAGUGCGGAAUGGUACACAGCCCAUGGUUUCGAUAGACAAGUCAAAAUCAGAAAAAUAUUGAUUAUUCUUUCUCUAAUCAUGUACUGAAUUUUCCACGAUUGACAGGUUUCAUAAUAUGCCCCCUAACUGUCCAAUUUAACAUGUUUUCACAAUUAUUGUACAAAAUUCUAUGAUCCAAAUUUACAAAAUUAAUCCAAAUCCUAGUUACUAUUUCUAUUCCUUUCAGUAUGAUCGGGCAGUGGCAUAUUUUGGCAAGUCAAUAACGAUUAAGAUUAAUCCAGAUCCUAUGUAGUUCAAAAAAAAAUGAAAUGGUAGUUUUUUUUUUUUUAUCUAAUUCAAUAACGAUGAUAAAAUUCAAUAACGAUCAUAUUGUUUGAUCUAAUUUGCAUACUGAUUGGACUUCUCCAAAUGAACAGAACAUGAUACCUUUUGCCUGUGGGCAUCCAAAUGAAUUUGUUAAUGUUGCUGACAAAUGAUAUAAUUAUUUUCUGUCUUUUAUUUAAAUAGGUUACUUUUACUGAUAUAUCUUGGACCAGUAAUUCCAAAUGAAAAUUGGAUUCAUGUAACAAGAGAAAGAUUUCUCAUUCCGUAGCCGGGAAGAUAUGUAGCUAUUCUACAUCUGAACCAAAUUCUUUAUGAGAAUAUCUUUCUAACUGCUCUAGAACAAUUAGAAGAUUCUGUAGAAGAAAUAUGAGGUUCUGUAAGGGAUACAAAUGGAAGUAAAUUUAUAAAACAUUCCUAGAAAAAAAUCUGCCAAUUAAACUUUACUUCAAACUUAUUAAGUUAUAGAAAUUUGUAAAGAAUAUCAAAACAGUUUUAAGAAAAAAAAAAAAGAGGUUCCGAGAAAGUAAAAAGAAGAUCUUAAUUUAUACAAGUUACUAAUUUUAAAAAAGAAUCAAUUUGAUUGAGCAAAAGAAGUUUCUCGGUUUGGAUUAGUUAUUUUUGGAGUGUUUUUGAAAUAUUUUAUUGUAGUAAUAUAGGUGAAAAACUUUUACUAUAACUAUUUUUGAAAGUAUUUUUGAAAUAUUUUGCUAUAGCAAUAAUUCGAUUUUAUUUGUGUAUUAUUGUAACACUGUAUAUGAAAAUUUUAUUUUUCAAAAAAUGACCAAUACAAACGCAGAGGUUACUUUUUUAUCCAGAUGACUGACCCCUCAAUAAAAAGAGGAGCCUCUCACCCAAAAGAAUUAUAUCAUAAUCUAAACGAGACUUUUGACUAAAUCAAAUAACGGGCAUGUUACAUGGAUCCGUACAAAAGGGAGAAGAAGGAACCAAGAAGUGCUCAAGCAGAUUCUCCAUUUCUGAGCAAAGGCCAAGAGAGAUGCCUUUCUUGAUUUUCUCCACAUGAUAAAUGGACUAAGUAAUGUGGAUGAUUCAAUCAUAUUUAUCCAUCAAAUCUCAUCAAAUAUUCCUUGGAAAAAAGAUGGCAGUUAAUGGCGCUGAGGGUCGGUUUGGUAUCCUCUUUUUGUAAUAAUUUAAUUAAUGGGCUAGUAAUUCUCUUUCUAUAUAGCUUGGAUCAACCUCAAAGAUCGAUAGCUAUAGAUAAAACCAAGUAUGCUUAGCAAAGCUAGUGCCCAUGUUAUGUAGGGAGAGUGUGAAUUGUAGAUCUUUUAUGUCGACUAUUUGGCACAAAAUCCUCAGUGUUCAGUUGCCGCAUCAAGGGCAUAUAUCCUAUGAAAAAAAUGGCAUUAGAAUUGCCAAAAAGCAACAAUUGCGUAGCUCAAUCUUAAACAGCUGUAAAAUGCGCAGACGAUGAAAGCUUUCCAACAUAAAAUUCUGACUACUAGAAGAGAAUCAUAUGUAGCUGCGUACUUCCUUCAUCAAAAAGCAAAGAACAUGAUUUAGGACACAGUUACAUCUUAAGUUAAUGUGUUUUUAUCUUAAAUUAAUGUUGUACACACUGAAAACGUAAUAAAUUGUUUAUACUCCCUCCGUCCCGUUUUGUUAGUCUUGGUUUUUUUUUCACACAGAUUAAGAAAGUGUAAUUAAUUUGGUUGGAAACAUAAAUUUAGAUUAAUAAUUUCCUAAAAUACCCUUAUGCUAAUCACGAAGAGUGCCAAUUAAUAUCAGUUACAGCUAAUGGUGCCAAUAAAUAUCAGUUACCGUCAAUAGUGCACCGCCAAUAGUUACCGCCAAUAGUGCACCAUGAUUGUUUCAAUUACCGCCAAUAGUGCCAAUAAAUAACAAAGAUAGACUUUUCAUUUAUCUAUGUAUUGGAAAAGCUCAAUGUAUUCAAUGUAGUGGGUUAGUAUUUAAUAACAAUGUAUUAAUAACAAGAUAUUUAAUAAGGUUAUUUUAGACAAUUUGAAAGAUUACUACAUUCCUUAAUGGGAAAGUGGACUACAAUUUGGAACAGACGAAAAAGGAAAACAAGACUAACAAAACGGGACGGAGGGAGUAUCAUGUAGGUGUAGUGAUACGAACCUGACUCUCCAAACUCCCGCUUUUCAAAGAGACAAUUUGACUAGACAGUGAAAAGACCUAUGUUGACCAAGUUAUGGAUAAUAUUGGGAUGGAAAAUAGGGUAGGCCGGUCACAAUUUAGGUGAAUACCAAACUGAUAUGACACUCAAUCCACUCAAAAAUCCUCACUUGAGAUGAACCAAAAUUUGAAAGACAAGAGUUUCCACUUAAACUUGAAGAAAGAACGAAAUUUCAAGUUUCAUUCAUUUGAAUCGACCGUCUAUUACAAUGAUGUUUAAAACCUUAUAUAGGCAAAACCCUAACCUAAACCGAAAUCCAAAUCGAACUUGGACUGAUUUCACUUAUUUAAUAACUAAUCUAUUGGAUUCAACUAAAUUAACGGCCCAUUAAGUUCAAAACUUAACACAAGAUUGGCCAUUUUAUUGACUAAAUACAUCUAACCAAAUUACUUAGUAAAAAGUCAAACAAUAAUUACUUAAAACAGACAAAAUAGGAAAAAUCCUAAAAGAAAUUAAUGACACAAAAACCGCAGAUGGAUUACACAUAAAUUCCACUGGUUAAAUGGACCGGUUUGUGAGCAAUAAUUUAAUCUUCCUUCUCGAGCUAAGUCAACAUCUUCCAAGUUUCUUGCUUGAACCUCCUUGCAUUCGAAUUAAAUUAAUGGAAAUUUGAAAAGGUUUCUUAAUCCGUCCUGCACAAGCUUUAAUGUCCAUAUCAUGUAGACUAUAUAUAUGUUUAUAUGAGUUUUUCUAACGAGUGUCUAUUAAACAUUUGUUAACAUAGCUAAAUGCCAACUAACCUACCAUGCAUGUAAACAAUAUAACAAUUAUCAUCACUUUUCUUUACCUUUAUAUACUUUCCCUAAUUAAUCAUACAUUUCCAAAGAUCUAACACCUAAAAUACGUCUUCACCAUUGUUCAUUGAACAUCCAUUAGACAAACCCUGUGUGUAUAUCACAAGACAGAAUACUGCAAUUCCAAUCCACUUUCAAAUUAAUUUGCAAUAAAUUUCUCCAAUCAUUUCAAUGUCUUGUAUAUCCUCCAAUUCUCGUGUUGCUUCUUGACCAUCGAACAUCUCAUGAUGCCCGUGCAGCUAUACCUUUUUAUUUUUAUUUUUAUUUUUUUUAUGAAUCCACACAAAUUGUGCGUACAAUAAACCAUAUAUGUGGGAUAAGUAAUACACAUAUCUUUAACAUCAGAAGCACCUUUAGAGUGACCUCUUAACCAGCUCGAGUAAGUAUGCUGGUUGACACAACAUUCUUACUUAGUUACUGAUUUUCAAGGUAUCCUAACAUAAAACUAAAAGGUCCCUCAAGUCAUGGAUCAAAUUUUCUUACUUUACAAUACACCUAAAUUUUCUUCAAUUGUUCUCGAUGCAUCAAUUUUUUCAAUGUGGUAAAUUAAUCGAUUAAGUUCGCCCAAAUUGAAUAUGAUUUUUAAUGGGGUAACAUGUUUCUGCGUCAAAAGAUAAUUUAACCGCCAAUAACCGAUGACUUGUGGAUUGAGGAGGGAAAAAAAUUCACUAGAGGAGAUAUCUGUCCAUAGAUCAUUAAUUUUAUAAGCCCAUAAUUGUCCCACUAUUUCUAUGUGUGAAAAUAUAUUUUUUUUUUCUUUUUUAAGCAAAUGAUGGAUUUUAAGGCUAUCUUUAUAAUUUCAGUGCAACAUGUAUACCUAAGUUGUCAAAAUUCGUUCAAUUUGAGGUUGAUUGGUCGAUUGUAUCAUGAAUUCGGAGUUUUGCACCCAGUUCUUACUCCUGGACCUCAACUGCUGUUUCCACAACUAGAGAAGCACUCAUUGGCAUUUCACACUAAUAUAAAUUAAGUUGAUUUUCUUCAUCACUAAAUUGGUUAAUUUUUUUUUAACAAAAAAAAUUGAAGCAAAUUAAUCAUUGUCAACAAAUUUGCUUUUUAGCAUUAUUGCAACACAUAUUUGCAUACACUUGAUUGCAAAACUUUGACUGCUGAGCGAUCCCGUGAAGAAUAAAGGCUAGCAAGAAUGGUUUUUGGUUGGAAAGAGAGAACAAGGGGAAAAAAAUGAAAAAUUAACAAAACCCAAAAUUGUAUUCAGCUGCCGGGAUUCGAACCCGAUGAGUUUCACUUGAGCCAAUUUGAUAAGUGCCACAGCGGAUUUACCAUGAGAUAUAUGAUAUAUGUUUUAUCCAACCGUGAUAGUAUAUACACUGGCAGUGUAUAUAAAAUUUACUUUAUUUUUAUUCCAUAAUAAUAUUCGUCUCUUCUUUAUAGGGGAAGGGAGUAUAAAAGAGAAUUCCAAGAUUUGAGAUUUCCCCACUCGCACUAUACAAAAAAAAAAAAAAAAAAAAAAAGAACCUCUUCUUUUUCUUUUAUGCAUUCUACAGAAAUUAAUAAUAUGUUCAUAAGUCACCUCCCAGACCAUGAAUUUUCUUGAAUGCCAAAUUUUAAAAAUCCUACUAAUAUCUAUUCGGAGUUUCUUUAAUUUUAAGUCCGUACACACCCAUACACACAAAACAAUAUGGAAUUGUAAACUCAACUCGGAAAAAAUCACAAAGCCCAGGUUUUUCAAGAACAUGUUGAAGUGUGAUCCAAUGAUAUGCUAAGGCCCAAACAAAAACUCAUAAAGUUAACGUAUUUUCAACUUUUUUUUUAAUCCACUUACUUCUCCCUACAUCCUUUCCACCCCUAUUCAGUAAAAUUUACAUGUAAAAUUAAAAUUUUCCUUUUUUGAUUCGUUAAACUUUGACUGCUGAGCGAUCAAGUGAAGAAUAAAGGUUGGCAAGAAUGGUUUUUGGUUGGGAAGGGAGAAAAGCGGGAAAGAGCGAUCAAGUGAAGAAUAAAGCAGAAAAAAAAGAAAAAUUAACAAAAAUCAAAAAAAUGUUUUCCGCUGCCGGGAUUCGAACCCGGAAGAACCCAGUUUGAUAAGUGCCACAGCGGAUUCACUGCCAGUUGUAUACGAGUCUCAGUUGAAUUUAUUUAAACUAUAAAGUUCUGAAACUCCUGAUAUCCAUCUAAUAUUUCCUUUUUCCAAAAGUGAUCCUUUGAACCCCAAUUUCUAUCACCAAGUUUUUUUUUUGGUUCCAUUCUACCUCUUCUUUAUCUUUUAUGCAUUCUACAGAAAUUAAUACUAUGUUCAGAAGUUACUUCCCAAACCAUGAAUUUUCUUGAAUGCCAAAAUUUAAAAAUCCUACUAAUAUCUCUUUGGAGUUUCCUAAUUUUAAUCCCAUUCACUAAAAUUUACAUGUAAAAUUAGAAUUUUCCGAAUAAAUAACUUGUACACAAUAAGAACUGUAACUCUACUACUAUGGGAACUCGAAUAUAUAUAUAUAUAUAUAUAGCCUUUUUCCUUUUGGGAUUUCAAUAUGUCGUCAACGACUGACAUUGUUAAUAGCUAAAUUCGGGGUUGGCUAAAUUAUUGGUUCAAUAUAAAUACUAAUAAGAUUCAAAUAAAAUUUUCCCUACCCUUUUCCGACUUCUUAAAUUUUGCUGAAAAUAUUUAAAGAUUCAAAUAAAAUUGUCAAUAAAUGUCACAUCAAUGCAGACUUGCUCAAUGAAUUAGUGAAUGCUGCAUGUUUUAAUACAUGGGAUGAUUAAAUAAACUUAACGGCCAUUCUCUAGACAAGUUAGACAAAGAAAUGUGUUAGAAAAAUGCCAGAGGACAAAAUGUAAACUGCAAAGCUAUAUUCAAAGACUCAAGAUUGAAGAGCCGAACCAAACAAUAACUGAACCAGUUCUUUCUCCAUUACACUUUAAAAUCUAAGGAAUUUGGAACAUUUUAAUAAAUUAGCAAAGCAAAAUAUAUAUAUUAGAGAAGAUAGAUUACCGAGGCUCAAUUCUUUAACCUCGCAGAAAACAAGAUCAAGUGGCUGUGGACUUCCAACCAUGUGUUACCAUGACCACUAUAACAUUGUUAAUUAACGUCCAAAUGAAAGUAACAUAACAUUAUCUAACUUUGAUGUGAAGUUACAAAACUGGACGAGACUCAAAACCGGUUCAAACUGAAAUUGAAUAAAACUGGCAGGAGUCCAUGCAAAAUCAAAAUCCACGUUUAGGUGGCUUUCUUCAAAAGAAAAAAAAAAAAACCGAAGCUGAAUUGUUUGGAUGGAAAAAGUUGUAGGUGAUUAUCACAUCCAUAUAGCCUUGGCCUUGAUAAGCAAUGGCUUUAACUUGCCCUGGACAUUGAGGCUCAUAACCUCAUUGGAACCACCAACAAAGAGCUUCCCUAUGAAAACAGCAGGAACACUUGUAUGGGAUCCUAAUGCUAGCAAUGCAUUCUCGAUCUCCCUUCCUUUGGGAUGAUAAUCAAGCUCAAAAAACAGUAGGAUUCGCCCCGAAACUGCAUAUCAACAUCUUAAUAGCAUGGGAUAUGCAGCAGUUGCUCUUGCUGAAUAUCACAACUGGCUUUUCUGACCCCAAUCUCCUCACUGCUUCCAUUCUGCUUUUGGGAAAAAUAAAAAUAAAAAGUCGAUCGAGAGAAGUGAUCAAAGGCUUGAAAAUGUGCACUAAUCUUACUUGAUUUGAUAGGAAUUGUAGGACUUGCUUUGAUAAAAAAAACUGGAGUGCAUGAAGGUAUAUAUGGAAUGCUGAAGAUGAAUGCAAUAAUUUUUUAACGAAAAGAUUAUAGGGAUGCAAAAUAUUGCUACAAAAUUUGAUGCCUGGAUCAAAUCAGCAGCUAUAUGAAAAACGGUUGAUAUGUCCCGACUAGACAGAAUCUCAACAUGCUUGAAGAUUCUGAAGUUGGUUUUUUCAUGCAAAAAACAGGAAAGUAAUAGAUGAUAACAGUAGUUUUUUGCCUUUUAUCACAUUGGUAUAUUUCCUUAUGCUGUAUAAGAAUCAGUUGUGAUCAAAGAGGGUUUGAAUUUCAACUGUAUGGAUAAAAGGGCUUUUUCGGAAUGUGAAAUGUUGUAUAGUUUUUUUUAAAGUUUUUGGUACAAUUGAGGGCAGCAUGUGUUUAGAUAUAUUUAUCAAAAUGCCCUCAUUUUAGUACAUUUAAAACUUUGAUUUAUGCGAUAAUUUCAGAAACCUCCCCUGAGCUUUGUCAUAAUAUCACUCAACUCCUCUCAAGUUUUUAAAAUCUCACUUACCUCCCCUCAAGUUUUAAUCCAGAAUUUGAGUCAAUCAUCUAGUUAAUUUCUUGCCAAGCGAUAAAUGCAUCACAAGACUAUAUUUUAGAUUAAAAGUGUGUUUAAUUAAAUCCUACGCCUCUCUCGAUGGUCAUAAGAGUUCAAGUAAAUCCAUUAAAAUUCUCAAUAAUAUAGGUGUAUUACACAUAAUUUAACAUAUUCUCGUGAUUAAUCUAUGUGUGUUUAUCUAUUUAUUGCACGGUUGUAUCUCAUUUCUCAAGAGAAAAAGAAGCUAUUGUUUAUCUAGUUGACUGACCCCUAGCCUCAAUAGCAAAAAGAAUCUCCCACCCAAAUCUAGAAACAGCGUAGAAUCCUUGACUAAACCAAACGAGGGGCAUGCCAUAAGGCUCAGUAUUUAGAAGGGAGAAGAAGGUACCAAGAAGGGCUCAAGCAGAUUCUCCACGAUCUUGAGACUCGCCCACCAUAGAUGCCUUUCAAGAUUUUCUCCACAUGAUAAGUGGACUAAGUAAUUAUAUGGAGGAUACAAUCAUAUUUAUCCUUCAUAUCUCAUCAUAUAUUCCUUGGGAAGAAAAAUGCUUAAUGACAACUAAGGGUCAGUUUGUAACUUUUUUUUGUUUUGUCGUUUUGCUGCGUUAAAGAAUCUAGGCUUCCAUUUCAAAAUCGAUUAGCACUAAGUGAAGGGAUUCAAGAUCUUCAUUAAUCAUUUUAUUGGUUAGUCUCCCAACCAAUAUGGAUUAUUUAAGCUUUAAUCAAACUGAAUUGCUCUUUUUGACGAACUCUUAAUAGCUUCCAACGCUAGUCCAUGUCAACUAUUAGCAAAAAUCUGCCAUGUCCAUUCGCCACAUCGAAGGCAUAUAUCCUGUGAAAAACGACAUCAGAAAUGCAACGACAGCUUGCAUAUCUCAUUUUUUUUUUUUUAUUGUUCUUGUAAGCGAAGAGUGGAAUUUAAAAAGUAGGAAGAGAAUAAGGGAAUUAAAAACCUAGCUAAUAUUGCUAAGGGCUUUUCUAAUGGAUGCUCUAAGGGCACCAUUAACACAUUCAAUAUUCACCUAACUUACUAUAUAUAUAUAUAUAUAUAUGCAUACUAACAAUUAUUAUCUUCUCCUGCAUUUAUAUACUUUUCUUAUUUAAUUUUGUCUACCCUCUCUUGUAUUUAUUUAAUUUUCCUAAUUAAUUUUGUAAUUCCAAAAAAUAUAACACCUGAAAUAUAUUUUAACAAGUGCCCAUAGAGCACCCGUUGGACAAAUCAUAUUUCUAAUUUCUGAAGUUACAACCUUAGCUAUGAGGCCAUUUGCAUCUCUCAUCUUAACUAUUCUAAAUGUGCAAAUGACCUCCAACAUUAAUUUGUGAACAUUACUAGAAAAGAAUCACAUGUAGCUGCAUAAAUCCUUCAUGAAAAAGGAAAAAAAUCUUAGGACACGAAGAUUAUCUUUAUCUGACAAGAUAGAGUACAAUAAAAAAAUUCUCCAUUCAAUUCAAAGUCUUGUAUAUUUUGGAAAUCAUGCGUUGUUUCUACAAUCAUCUAUAAGCAACCAUGAAUUAACGACUAUUGAAUGUCUCAUGAUGCUGAGUAGUCGCACUUUUAUAAGUAACCACACUCAUUGGAUCAAUGCGAAUGGACUUACCCCUAAGUAUUAUUUUCUUUCUUAUUAACUAGUAACCUACACUCUAAGACACUUCGUCUGUAACCGACAAAUUACAGAUUCGAAUCAUCAAGGGGUAAGUAGAGAAUUAUUCUUGAUCCUCUCAAAAAAAUUUUUAAAAAAAAAAAGUUACAAUACCCCUUAGGAGCUUCAAUUUUUUUGGGUAAUUAUGAAAUGUUCCUCAAAAAAUAGGUUGAGUUCUUUCGCUUUAAACCACCCGGGCUCAUUUCCAAAUCAACCUAUCUGGCCCCUGUUCUUUUUCAUCAAUUAUUCUCGUUGUAUAAAAUUUUGUUCAAUGCCAUACAAUGAAUUAAGUUUGUCCAAAUCGAAUAUAAUUUUUUCAUCAGAUGACAUGCACUUGUUGCAUCAAAAGAUAAAUAGACCACCAAGGAAACCAACGAAUUUGUGGAUUUAAGAAGAAAAAUAUGCAUCAGAGUUACAUAUUUGUCCGUAAAUCAUUGGUCGUAUAGAGCUCGUAUUUGUCCUUUUAUUUUUUCGUGUGUGUCAAUACAUGUUUUCACCCAAAUAUUUGAAUUUAUUCAUGCAAAUUUUUAUCGUAUAAUUGUUACUGUUUACCUGAGUUGUCAAAAUCCGGCUCAAUUAUUGAUGAAUUGAUGGAACUUUUGCUUUUUCUGUCUUUUUUUCGCCUUUUACUCUUUAAUUGGCUGCGCAGUAAAAAUCUUGUAACAUGGUUAAUAACUCAAGCAUCAUUGAAACUUGAAUUUUAUUACCAACAAAGAAAAAAUACUUGAAUAUACAACGUUUUCAUCUCAUGACUUCGAAUUGUCCUUUUUUAAAAAAAAAAAAAAUUAGAGAUUACAAGUGCAACAACUCAAAAAAAGUAGAACAACUUAUUCACAAAUACUAAUACUGGAACUAACAACAACUAAACAAUGUACUAAAACUCCCAUUUGGGAGUUUAUAACAACCUUAUUCUCACUCUUGAAUCUCAACCUUGGUUUUUUCUUCAUAAGCAAUUUACAUUAUUUUGUUCAUAGCUAAAUUGGAUGAAAUGUGAAAUUUUUUAGCAAAGCAAUGUCAAACUUCAAUUCCUGGGAGAUCAAUAAAGGCCAGCACUUAGCAAUAAUGGUUUUUGGUUGGGAUCGAAGAAAAAAAAGGUCACAGAAGCAAAAUUUCUACUGCUGCCAGGAUUCGAACCUGGUUAAUUAGCUUUACUUAAGCCAGUAUGAUAAGUGCUACAGCAGAUUUGUCCCUUGUUGCUUCCAAGAGUCGGUUUGACAUAGCUAUUCUUUUCCGUGGAAAAAAUUUUCAUCCAGUGACUAAGAUUGAGACGUCUAGACAUUAGAGAUUCUAAAUUUAAAUUCCUCCUUUCUCUUCCAUGUUUCUUGAAUUUCAUUCCUCUCAACUAGCCACUCAACAACAAAGAACCUGAUCUAGUUAGUUUGAUUAUGUAGCAAAUUAAAAGUAUGGGAGAAGAUAACUCGUAAAUUAGCUAAACUCAUUUCUUUCCCAUUUGCAUUUUGAAACUGAAGCCUAGUGGAACAGGAUAUAGUGGCAUGGGUGGUCUCCUAAUUAAUACUUCCUCCAUUCCAAUUAUUUUGUCAUGUUUCGAAAAUCUAAUUUUUUAAAAAUAGUACUUUGAUUGUAAUAUUUAUAUUUCUCUUUCUAAUUUUACCCUUAGAAAUUCAAAAUUUGAGUUUGAAUGAUAACAUGCAUAUAAUUAAAGAUAAGAAUUAUAAUGGAAGGAAAUACUAAAAAGUGUUUUGACUUUCUUAACAUAACAAAUAUUUUGAAACAUUCCAAAAUAAAAAAUAUGACACUUUCAAUGGGACAAAAGGAGCACGAGUUACCAUGAUAUGACCCACUAGACAUUUUUAUUAUUUCAUAAUGAGAGUACAAGAACGUAAUACAUAUAACUUUGAUGUGAUAUAACUCGACGAAGACUCGAAACGGGUUUAAACUAAAAUUUAAAAAAAAAAAAAAACUGGUAAGACUCCAUGCUAAAACAAGACAGGAGACCUAGGCUGAAUUGCUUAGAUGGUAAAUUCUAUAUGUGUUUAUCACAUCCAUAUUGCCCUGGCCUUGAUGAGCAAUGGCUUCAACUUACCCUGGACAUUGAGGUCCAUAACCUCGUUGGAACCACCAACAAAUUGCUUCCCUAUGAAAACAGCAGGUACACUUGGAUGGCAUCCUAAUGCUAGCAAUGCAUUCUCCAUUUCCGUUCCUACUGGAUGUUGAUCAAGCUCAUAAACAGUAGGAUUCGCCCCGAAACCGCAUAUCAGCAUCUUAAUAGCGUGGGAAAUGCCGCAGUUGCUCUUGCUGAAGAUCACCACUGGCUUUUCUGACCCCAAUCGCAUCACUAUAUCCAUUCUACUUCUGGCAAAAAUGUGAAAUCAAGAGCUAUAUAUGAAUGUGCUCCAGCAAUUGAGUUGAUAGGAAGUUAUAAGGCUUGCUUUGAGUGAAAACCUGAAGCGCAUGAAGGUAUAUAUAGAGGGCUGGCUGAGAAUGAUUGGUUGCAAUAUCUCUUUUUUGGAUAACAACAAAAGGGCUAUAAGAUUACUGUUGCAAAUUUGAUGCUUUGGGGGUCACAUCAACAGCAAUAUGAUAAAGGAUUGAUAUGAAUCUCAAGCUGCAUUAACAUCCUGGCAUUGGGUUUUCAUGCAGAAAAAGGAAAGUAAUCGACGAUAACAAUCUUUUUGCCUUUCCUUGAUGCUUAGUGCAUACGGAUACUACUGCUCAUGGAAUCGAUGCGGGAGUGGGGCAUGCAUUUGUGUUGUAUUUGGUUUAGUCCAGUUAUUAUGCAUGUUAUGAUUAUUGUUGUACAACCACAUAAUUUUAUUUAUUGUACCAAUUAUGUAUGAAAAUUUUAAAUUACGUAUAUCAACUUUUUCACGAAUACAACAAUAUAAUGCUAUUAUAUACCAAACAAUGUAAUAUGUAUAAUAAUCGCAAGAAUCGCAUGAAACCAUAAUUGCACAACCCAUGAAAAACAGUUUUUGUUUUAAGCUUUUUGUCCCAAAAUAUUACCAAAGAAAUGAUAAUUAUAUGCAAAGAUGAUCACAUAAUGGCAUGACUGAAGUUAAAGUUCAGCUCAAUAAGGUAAAAUUAGUUGCAGAGUUAGGACCUAAUGUUAGACAGGGCAAUUACUUUGAUGCAUAAUGAUACGGUACAAUUACGGCAAAAUUUUUUGUUGAAAAACUUUAAUAACUAGUAUGAUAAUUGUGUGAAUUUUGUUAAAAUUGUAUAGUGUUUCACAAUAAUAAAAAUUAGAUGACAAUUAUUUUUUCAUUCAAUAGACAACAAAAUCUUAACGAUUUUAUGUACCAAAAGUUUUAAAUUUUAUUUUCUGUCUAAAUUCUCAACUAAUACUUGGCCUCAUUUCAAGCAUUCCAUUAUUCAUAAAUUAAGUGAUAAUUGUAGAUUUCAAGAACUCAAAGGGGCAAAGUAAUGAAAUAUAAGAAAUUUUAAAAAAAUUUAGGGGUACAAAAAGGGUGUACUCGAACCGAGUCGAGCUCGAGUACUGCUAUACUCGAGCUCGAGCUUGAUCGAGUCGGAGAAUCUCAACUCGAGCUUGACUCGAGGAAAUUGUUAAAAGCUCGAGACUCGACUCGAUAAGGCUCGACCUUGAGUCAAGCCUUAUCGAGUCGAGUAAACUGAUCAAUCGAGUUUUUUUUAUCAAUCUCGUAAAUUCAGUAUAAAUUAUACCCAUAAUGGUCAUUUUAUAAUUAUAAUACAUACAUAUUAUUUAAAUUAUACUACUCGACGAGUAGCUCGUCGAGCCACGAGCUGCAAAAAUCCGGGCUCAAACUCGACUUGAACGUAUACUCGAGUAAGUCGAGACUCGGCUCGAACUCGGUUUGACCGAUUUCAAGCCAAGUCAUUGACCGAACUACUCAUGAGCAGCUCAGCUCGCGUGCAUCCCUAGGUGCAAUUAUAGGACAAAAUUAAAAUUUUAAAAUAUUUCCAAGCCUAUUUCAAAAUGCUUCAAAGUUGAGGGGAAGCAAUUGCAAACCCUCACUUGAAUGUGGCUCUACCACUGGCUAAAAUGACAAAAUAUUAAUAGGAACAAUUAUUAUGUAAUUUCCAAACCAAGCAUUGAGUUCCCUAAAGCCAAAGCCUUUCCUCGACAAUGUCGAACUCAAAAUUAUAAGAACAAGGAGAUUAGCAAUACUCUAUGAUAAGGGUUUAUUUUACGUAUUUUUGAGUGCAUUUUAUUAGUUAAUUCUGGUUCCAUUAUUUAGUUUUAUAACUAAAACAAUUAGGGUUUUGGUAAAAAUAUAUAUUUUCUAUUAAAGUGGCUAACAUUGCAUUUCUAUUGCUUUUAAGGGUAAAUACUUCAUUUUCUUGCAGGAUUAAUGAUUCAAUCAUCAAAGGGUAUGAAUGGAGAAGAAAAUCUGAUGAUUGGUGAUGAAUUAAAGUGUGUAAAGAAGAAAUGAAGUGAAAAACAUUUAAUUGAAGAAAUGCAGUUCGAGAUAGUUUCGACACUUUUCGGUAUUUCGACUAUAUCUGGAGCUACAUAUAUCAGAUUGAAGUGAUCUUUAUACCAUUUUGAAGCUAAGAGAUAGAUCUAUAUUUGGUAUGAAGAUAUCGAAAUCCAAUUCUGCUGUUUUCAUGGACAAAAAGUCGAAAUACAGAAGCUGCAUUCUAUGGACGAGGCUAAAACAGGGGUUUGACCAAGUGAUAGUAUUUCAAUCAUAUCUCAGUCUACAAAGAUCCGAUUUGGAUGAUGCUUGAAGCAUUGUAAAUCUAAUUCAAAGGGCUACAACUUUUGUGUUUUUCACAAAAGUUAUUUCGACCUCCAUUAUAGAGAAAAUCGCAGUUGAAGUGAGGCCAAUUUCACAGAGUUGAAAACGCGAGUUGAGAAAACGUGUCUUGAUGGCGCGUUUUGUCAAGUCGCGUUUUGUAGCCAAAAUUCUACAAUUUGCUCAGCCAUUUCUCUUGUAUUCAUACUACUUUCUAGCUAUAUUUAGCAAGAGAAUUCGGUUGCACAUGCUUCAGAAGAUAAAGGGCAGAAAAGAUGGCUUAUUGUCAAGUCAAAAACAUUUGUUAUUGACUAUCUUAACAAAUUUUAGAUUUGGGAAUCUAGAGGUGGAAAUUUGACUAAUGGAAAUGAGUUUUUGAGCUGUUUUUCCGCAGAGAAAAAUGGGGAAGUCAGUGGAGAUACGGACGGCAAUUUUCUGAUAAAAACACAUUCUCUCUAACUAACAAAAUUUGGCAGGCACACUUGGAGAUUUCAUCUUGUAAUCAUCUAGUGCAAGACAUAGCAGAAUUUUGGGAGCUUCACCAUUAACUUGGCUAAGCUUUUCUUUAUCCUUCUUGUAAUUGUAACUCAUGAUGUUUUCCAUUAAUGAAGUUAUGAGUUUGAUUAUUUUAUCAUUCAUGAGUAGCUAAUUUUCUAUAUCUAGGGAGUAGAUGAAACUUAUGGCCAAGUGAUAUAAAUUGAAUGUAAUUUACACUUGUUGUAUCUUGUAUUAACUUGUCUUCUUGUGCAGAUUGAUUACUUAUUGUUGUUUGAUCACCAUUAGCGGGUCAUUAGUUGCUAUUACUCAAUGAAAAUUGGUAAUGAUAAUGGAAUAACAUAAGUAGACCUUGAGUUGUAGGUUCAUGAGAAUAGAAAUACAUUCAAGUGGAUUAAUUUCAUGCAUGAACAAGAGCAGUUUUAGUUUUAAUCAAGAGAUUAGAGAAAUCUAGACUGUUCUAAGCCUUAUUAUCAUGAGAAUGAAAUUUUGGCAAUUUUGGAAAUGAAUCCCUAGUUAAACAAGAGUAGUAACAAGUAUUAAAUUCAUUCAUUUCGAUCUUUUGUGCCAUAAGUGGAAUCUACAUCCCUAGAUUCAAGUUUUUAGUGAAUUUUCUCCAAUUGUAACUUGCAUUUAUUAAAUCAGAUUAUAGACAGUAGCAAAUAUAAUUUUUCUGCUCAAUCUCAUUAUAAGUCUAAAUAAUAGAGAAAAUAAGGACCUAGUACUUGUAGACAUUGCUCCUCGUGGGAUCGAUCCGAUUAAUGCACUAAACUACUAGUUUGGCCUGUAUACUUGCAGUCAACGGGUAUAAAUUAGAAUUAAACUUACACUUAUAUCAAAAACCCGUCACUCUCAAAUAUGGUAUGGAAAGACUAAUUUACAUAUACAAAAUUAUGAGUGAAAAAAAUUACAAAAUCUACAAUACAUUACUAUCAAACAUUGAAAUUAAGACCCUACAACUCUUACUCUUCUCAAACAAAUACAAUAACAAGGCACUUUACUUAUAAUUCAUCAGUGAUAAACAAGAAACAACCACCACAAGAAAUUACCUAAAUAGAGUAUUAUUCAAACUGCUAGAAAUAAUUGACUUGAGUACUACUCAAACUACUAGAAGUAAUUGACUUGACCCAAAACCUACUAAUAAAAAAUUUUGAAUUUUAUAAUAUAAUUAGACUUGUUUUAAUAUGCGAAUAGGCAAUAUGAAUUUUACAAAUCUGGCCAGAAAUAUUAAAACAAUUUUUCUAAAAUAUCCCUCUUAAUAAAAAGAGAAAAGAUUUUAUUAUUUAGCUAAAUGAAUCAUCCCUCAACCAAUAUAAGGAAUCUCCCUCUUCAACAGAAAUAAUAAUAAUAAUAAUAACAAUAACAGAUUUUUUUUAUAUAUAUAUACGUUAAAAUUUGUUCCAAAGUGGCAAAAUUAUGAUAAAGCUGAUCCAGAAAGUGAUCUACAAUAGAACUAGAUAAUUCUCCACCCAUCCAUUUCAAGAAACAGCACACAAUCUUCGAGUAAAUAAUUAACCAUGAAUGAUGAGCACGUAAUUGAUCCGUACAAAAAGGACGAAGAUGGUAUCAAGAUUAAUGGCUCCAAACUGUAGCAGAUUCUCCGUUUUGAGCAAUUUUCUUCUUUAUAGCUAAGAAUAUGCUUUCUUGAUUUUCUCCACAUGAUCAUAUUGUCUUUGCCAUCUUAUCAUAUAUUCCUUGAUCAUAUAUGUAGAUGCUUAAUGGAGCUAAAGGUCGGUUCUGUAAUCUUUUUGAAAUUAGAUUAAAGGGCUGAGGAUGAAGCCCUCAUGCUGUCAUGCAUAAGGUGCAAAUCUAAAUAUUUUGAUUUUGAGCAUCUUAAAGUUGAUCAAAUCUGUUCUUAAGAACUAAACAAGGAGAAGAAUGAAAUGGGAAAAAGACAAAGAUUAAUCUUUAGUACAUUGUCAAAGUAAUGAUUUAUUUUAUACUAACAGAUUUAGAUGCAACUCUUUAUCGAAUUUGAAAUCUUCCUUUUGCAAAUUCUAUCAUGCAUUCACGUUUUUGUAAAAAAGCUUUUACAAUGACAGUAAAAGAAAAAACAAUUCAUAACAAAAUGCUUGCAUUGCAAAUUGAAGCCUAUUCUCAAACAAGAAAAAAAAAAAAAAAAAAGUUCCUUGACGGUAUAUGAUAUCCACUGUCUUGUAAUUGAACUCUUAUAUAUGAAUUUUCCACCUUGUUAAACAGUUAACCUUGAGACCCGUAAAAGAUAGGUAUAGUGUAGAUUUAAAUUCAUGUUCACUAUUGGAACAAAAUCCACGUUGACCCCAAUAUCUACAUUAACCAUAUAUGAUCAUGAAAUUCUUAAUUCGACUCUCAAACUCUCCAUUUUAUUUUGUUUUUUUUUCAAGGCUUGAAAUCUCCCUUGAAUUAAAAACAAACAAAUAUAUGGAUAUUGAGUCUUCGAGUGCUCUUGUUAAUGCUAAUGUUGAUAUGGAAUCUGGUGUCCUGAGCAAAAUUGUGGUUAAUAGCUCUCAUUCUAUAAAUAUUUCAGUUGACGAUCAUGUGAAUCAUGUUCAAUCUCCUCCUUUGCUGCAUGAUAUAUAGUCUUAAGUUUUUUAUUGAUACUGGGUAGGGAAUAGGGAUCAAAUAUUUCUGAUGCAUCUCUUGUGUAGGUUAGGUCUGAUGAGGGUGCUUGUAGUAACUCUCAGGUGGAUCCUUUUUGGCUGACUAAUGAUUUAUGGCAAAUGAAUCUGGUUGGUAAUUAUUCCAGUAUUUCACAAAGUGCCAAUAAUGAUAACAAUGAAGAAGAUCAUUAUUCACAAAAUGAAAGGGAUGAAGCCUUUAGUGAAAAUUAGUUUAUCCCAAUAAUUUCAAAGAAGGUCAAGGGACAGAAGGGAACAUUCAGAGUCUAGCAAGACAAUGCAAACACAAUAAAAGUUUAAGAUUAAUUUUCUAUACACUGACAGUGUAUACACUUUUACCAUUAGAUGCAUGAUACAUAAUUCGAAUUUGAAUUUGAAACUCAAAUAUUGUAUAUGUAUCAUAUAUCCAAUCGUGAUAGUGUAUACACUGUCAGUGUAUAUAAAUUUAUUCAAAAGUUUAAAUAAAAAACUCAAACCAAUCCAUUAUACUACAAACGUGGAGCGUGUUGAGAUUAUUUAUUAUUAAAAUUUGUCAAGUUUACAUUUAGUCAAACUCGGAGGUAUAUACCUAAUUUUUUAUGAGAAAAAAAAAUAUAAAUAAUCCCCCCAAAAGAAAGCUAUUUGAUUACCACUAUUGCAACUUAGACACAUAACCUUUAUCCUCUUGGGACUUUAACCUAUCACAAGGCUGACAUCGUUCAUAACUAAAUGGUUAUUAAUUAUUUAACCUUUCCCCAAAAAAAGUGCUUGAUUUUUAAACUUUCUCUACAAAUCAGCUUUGGAAAAAUGUGCACCACUUGUAGCAAUGUGCUUUUCUCACCAAUUCCACAAAUAAGUGGAGCCCAAAGUUUUCAUUUUUCCUUUUUUUUUUUUUGGUUCCAUUCUUGACCUUUAGUGACCAAAAAAGGUGUAUGGGGCGGAGGGAUUCACAGCAAUUAAGAGUUGAAAAUGGCUGGAGUUUAUUAGUGCUCUUAGUAUCUCUAAAGAGGAAACUGGAAUUGACUGUUCAAUUGACAGCAAUAAGAGCUGAACUUGAUGUAUCAUUGCUAGGGAAAAAUAUGCCCUUUCCUUUCAGGUUUUAAGUAACCAUUUCUCUCAAAUAGCAAAAAUUUGAGAACAUUACUUAUAACUAAACCAUUUCUUCUCCAUGACACUGUAAAUCUAAAGAACUUGGUAAAGUUUAAUCAAUUAAUUAGCAAAGCAAAAGUAUGAGAGAAGAUAAAAAUUGGCUGAACUCAAUUCUUUUCCAUUGUCACUUUAGAACUAAAACGUCACAGAAACAAGGAUCGAUCAAGUGGCAUGGACUCCUAAAUAUGAGUUACCAUGACCACUAUAACAUUUUAAAGACUCAAAACCGGUUAAUACUGAAAUUUAACAAGACUGGUAGGAGUGCAUGCUAAACCUACAUUCUCCUUUAGAUGGCUUUCUUCAAUUAAAAGACAAAACAAGAAAGAAAAGUUUCAGUUCGAUGGUAAAUUCUAUAUGUGACUUCUACAUCCAUAUUGCAUUGGCCUUGAUAAGCAGUGGCUUCAACUUGCCCUGAACAUUUAGGUUCAUAACCUCAUCAGAACCACCAACAAGUAGUUUCCCUAUGAAAACAGCAGGAACAGUUGGAUGGCAUCCUAAUGCUAGCAAUGCAUUCUCAAUGUCCCUUCCUUCUGGAUAUUGAUCAAGCUCAUAAACCGUGGGAUUUGCCCCGAAGCUGCAUAUCAACAUGUGAAUAGCAUGGGAUAUGCAGCAGUUGCUCUUGCUGAAGAUCACCACUGGCUUUUCUGAACCCAAUCUCUUCACUAUAUCCAUUCUACUUUUGGCAAAAAUGUGAAGUCCUGGGCUAAAUGAUGUGCUCUAGUAUUUUACUUCAGAGGAAGUUUGAGGCUUGCUUUGUGUGAAACCUGAAGUUCUUGAAGGUAUAUAUAGAGGGCUGGCUGGCUCCGGGCUAGUGAUGGAAGAUUUAUAACAUUUUUCUUCACAAAAUAGCAAAAGGGCCGCAAGAUUUUGCUUGGAAAGUUGAUGCGUUGGGGUUCAUAUCAGCAGGUACGUGAGAAAAGGAUUGAUUUGUAUUCCCUACUAUAGAGUAUCACAAGUUGCAUUAGCAUCCUUGCAUCGGUUUCUCAUGCAGAAAAUGGAGAGCGGUAGGUGAUAGAUAAGCAAGUAAGAAUCUUUUACCUUUACUUGAUGCUUAGUGCGGACGUAGUACGGCUCUUGGAUUCCAUACAUUCGUCAAAUUUGGGGGAAAAUAUCAGUAUUGUACAAGGAUUUUUUUUUUAUUUGGGCUUUCUUCGUUUUCUUCCUGGAGAGCAUUACAAAAUAUAUAUAUAUAUAUAUGAACCUUUUUUUUUUUGUUAAUGGUUCUUGUCACAACCAUGAGUCAUAGCAUGCCUCCAGGACCAUCAAUGGCUUAUAGAAGUACUUACAUAUUAUCCACCAAGGCAACACUCUAAUAUUUGUAGCAGAACUCGAACACACUCAACUUUUUUGCGAAUAAUUAAUCCGCCCUUAAUAAUUGAUCCAAUGUAUAUUUCCACGUAGGAAUAUAAUAGUUGUAUGCAAGACAAGCACAUAUUAGCAUGAGUGAACUUGAAGUAGCUUGAGAGGACAAAGGACUCAUAAGUUGAGUUUAGUCAAGUGCAAAUCAGCUCCUAUAAUUUUUAUGAUACUUAGUAUAAAGUUAUAUGUGUUUGGUAUAACUGCCAAUUUAAUUGUAUAAGUUGACAAAUUCAAUUUACCCCUAUGUUGUUCUCAAAAGCCAAAUCCCUUUUUGGGCAAUGUCAAUAGUACAAAACUGGCCAGAGAAGAUGAAACGAGAGAUGGACUUCUCAGAACAAACAGAACAUUAUUCCUUCAACUGUGUGGUGCAGGGGAGGGAUUCCCUUUCAAGUACUAAUGCUACCUUUAUUCUGUCUUUUUUAUACAGCUUGGACCACUGAUUAAAAGAGAAAAAAGAAACCAUUGUUUACCAGUUGAUUCAGCCCUUGAUUACUAACAAAAAGGAAUCCCCCUCUCCAAAAGAAAUGAAAAAGAAAAUCAUGAUAAGAUCGGAUAAUUGGGCACCCAUCUUUUUCAAGAAACAGCAUACAUUCCUUAACCAAGCCAUUUAUGAGCAUGGUAUCGAAAUCCGUACAAAACGAAGAAGAAGGUACCGAGAAGGACUGUGCAGCCUUUGGAGGAUAGCAGAUUCUCCAUUUCUGAGCACUAUUGUUCUCUAUCACAAAGAAGAUGCUUUCUUGAUUUUCUCCGCAUGACAAAUGGAUUAAACAACCUGGAUCCAACUAUGUCUUCUUUCCCAUCAUAUCAGAUACCCUUUGACAUGGAAACUUAGGUUCACUUGGAGUUGGGGUGCAUUUACCAAAAAAAAAAACUUUUAAGCAGUAAAAAUACUUUCAGGGUAUUCGAUAACUAAUUUUUCGUAAUUUAAGCUGCCCAACUUUUGUUUGUUUGACAAAAAAAAAAAAACUUCUGUUGAAAAUAUUUGUGUAACAAGUGUUUCUUUAUAAUUCACCAUAACCCCAAACCCAAACGAGACUUAAUGAAGCUAAUUAUCAGUUCUUGAACUUUUUGAAAUAAGGUUAUAAGGGGCCAAGGAUGGAGCUUUUAUCAAAUCCACCUCCACCUUGUUAAAGUAUACAAAUUUUUUUAAAAUUUUGUUAUACUACAAUUUUGACCUUAGGCAAUUUGGAUGAGUGCAACUCGUGCAAUAGAAUAUUGUGAAGAUAUUCAUUUCCAAAUUAUCUCAAGCACCAGAUUUCACUUUGAAGCCUCGAGCCUGAUAAAAUAUAAUAUUAAUCACAUAUAUGCUGAUAGUAUAUGUGCUAUCAUCCAUGAUAAUUUAUCUAAAUUUGAAUUUGAAAUCCAAUUUUUACAUAUAUUUUAUGUAUCUAACUGUAAUAUUACAUACAUUAUUGAUACAUAUAAGAUUUACUCAAAAAUAUAAAGUAGCACAUUUGUUCUGUUAUUCCUGAGCAUCUUAAAAUUGAUCAAAUAAUUGUUUUCAUUUUUUUUCUCUCAAGAACAAAAUCCGCAUUGUCGAGCCCCAGCAUCCAACACUUGACAUUCUAACAUCAGAAAGUCACGUCACAGUGCCAACAGCAACUUGCAUUCUUAUCUUUGAGCGUGCAAAUGACAGCAAUUCUCCUCGAGUUAGUAGAAGAGAAUCAAACCUUGAGAGUUGGCUCGGGUGGUUUCGGGUAGACUAGUUAGGUCCCGAAAUCGUAUGUUCGAAUCACCUCUCUAUCGCUUGUAUAUCCUUGAGAGGCGGGGUGCACAGGCGUAAGGAAAUUAGUCUGGUAAAAUUGGGAUACUCCCUGUAUUAAAAAAAAAAAAAAAAAAAAGUAGAAGAGAAUCAAAUGAUGGUUGGGUACCCUCCGUCAAGAAAUUAAAGACUGAAAUGGUGGAAGAAAAAGGUAACAAAACCUGGGACAUAAGAUUGUAUCUUAUAUUACAAGCUAGAAUACUACAGAUAAUUUCCACUUUUGAAGUUUGUUCUGCAAAAAAAUUCUCCUUUCAUUUCAAUGUCUUGCAUACUUUGGAAAUCUUGGAUCCUUUUUUACAAUCAAUCAUCCAUAAUCAACCACGAAUUAAAGCUUGUGGAAUUUAAGAAGAUGCUUGCUUUAUUUCGAAGUACAUUAAACAAUAGGAGAAAUACCUAUUUUCAUCCCUAAAUUUUGAGUUAUGGACGCAUUUCUUCCUCAAAUUUUAACCAAUUUUAUUUUAAACACAUUUCUGACAUAACACAAAUAUUUAGUAUCUGAACUAUCAAUUUUUAACCAAUUUUAUCCUCAAAUGGGAAACUAAUUAGUAAUUUGAACGGAAAUUAGACACCUGACGAAUAUGAACCUCUUGACUGAAAAGCCUUGCAUGACUUAAAAUUAGCAAAAUAGGAUGGCUAUUUUUACUCUCCCAAUUUCAAUUUCCAUUCAAAUUGAUCAAUUUCUUGUUUGAGGAUGAAAUUGGCCAAAAAUUGAUAGUUCAGAUACUAAAUGUGUUAUGCCAGAAAGUUUGAGAACAAAAUGUAUCCAUGACCCAAAGUUUAGGGAUGAAAACUGGCAUUUUCCCUUAAACAAUAUGUAUUUUGAAACAAUUUAUGUAUUUUGAUAUUGGCAUUUCCCUAAGUAAAUUACAGCAAAAGUUCAAGCAUCGCCUAAUAGAACAUACAACAAAUCAAAUGAAAUUGAGAAAAAUCUCGUAGGAGGAGGGAUGGGGUUGUGAUCUUUAAAGCAGAUCAUUUGACCACAUGAAGUGGUUUAUCUAAUGUUUCAACUCCAUAUGCCCAUAACCACAGGAAAUUAGAAAAUUUGGAGCAAAACCAACAGUAAUAGCCAAUGACAUGUAGCACAUUCCCGCACCAUAUUAAUUAACAUGAAACUAAUUAAAUUUCAAAAGUUUCAGGUAGAUAAAAUUAACGGUAUCAAGAUCCAAAAAGGAAAAGAAUAAUCCAUGCACAGUGCUGUGCUAUCAAAAGUUUGCCUAUAAUUCUCUUUUAAGACAUGAAAAACAGAAAUUUUCAAUCAAUCAGCCACUUCUUACAUCUCUAUAAAACAGACCACUAUCCCAAAGUUUUUAAGAAUAAUAGCUUCAUGAUGAUGUCAAUGAAUUUGUUUCCAAAGUUACUCUCUAACAUACAAAUUUUAAAUUUGAAUUUAGUAUGAAACAUGAACAAAGGUGGGAAUAACAUUAAAAAAAAAAAAAAGGGGAUUAAAAGUAACUUUGACUAUACUAAAAUAACAAACAUUUUGAGACAUCCAUUUCUCAAAAUAGAAAGCAUAAUAUUUUCAAUGGACGGAGGAAGUAAUGAUUAACAAGAUGAGAUGUUUUAGCAAAGACACAAGCAAAGCUACUGAGCACACAUCGAAACGGACAUGGAAGUGCAGGUAAGCCACAGAAGAGGAUAAACUAGAUGAUGAAGAUCUCCACCAGCAGGCUGCAGCUCAUGCAUUUUCCAUCUGUUUACUGAAGCGUUUAUUCUGAAAACGCAGAUCUUAGAAGUUGCUACAGACCAUUCUCAGAAAUUUUGUUCCAAGGAUCUCAAAUUUCAUGACAGGCAAGAAAUUUAGUUGGAUCAGCGAAUAGAAACAAUUGACGGCAGUUCAGGUGAACUUAUCCAUUCACCUAUAAGAGCUUGAAACAAAGAUCAUCACAUUUAAAAACAGAACAGAUCAAAAAAUUCACGGAACUACAUGCACAAGACUUGUUGCAGAAAAAGAAGAUAUAUGUAUAGAAAUCAUUAAUCAUAUAAAUCUAUCAGCAGAGUCGAAAUAACUUACUUGAAAAAAAAAAUAAAGAAGGAAAAAGUAAAGGACAAGCAAUGUCAUGUCUAGAAAUCAUUAAUCAUAUAAAUCUAUCAGCAGAGUCGAAAUAACUUACUUGAAAAAAAAAAUAAAGAAGGAAAAAGUAAAGGACAAGCAAUGUCAUGUCUAACAUUACAAUGUAAAAAGAGAACAAAAUUGUUGCUUCAGGCCCAAAUUUGAUACAUGUUUUCAGCAACAUCGACGUCACAAACACUACAUUUUGACAAAGGAUCAGUCAUCCCUAUUGAACUGAAGUUGGAAUGACGGAGUUAUAAUGCUCACCAAGCCCAAAUGCAUGCCUAUGGUAUGACAGCAUAAUACUUUUAUUGGAUAAGCCAUUUCCACCUACAAAUUUGUACUCAUUUCCCAUCUCCACAUCAGGGAAGGAUCCAGAAAAUAUCAUGAUAUGUUUCUUCAGGCAAUGAGUUAGAGCACCAAGUUCCAACUGUCCUCCCCAUGCUGCCGUUGAUUCCACUUCUGUACAAUAAUUCUCAAACUUCUCUGCAAGGGUAUCAGUGGAUUCUCCAUCUGCCAUAUUCUCAGAGAGGAAAAAGGGCAGGAAUUCAGAUGCAUGAUUCCUCAUAUAUGAUGCCACCAUUUGCCGAAGUUCUUGGAAAGUAUAAGGAGAGGUACCUCCAGCCUGGAGGGCGAGCUGAUCCUCAACAGCUCGGUAAAGACAAUGCCCAUCUGGCUUUAUUUCAUUAAUGACCAAUCCAAGUGGCUCAAGUUUCUUUUCUAACCCCUCAUUUUCUGCAACUCUCUCACUGACAAUGUUACACUGCUCUUCUCGUAUUCUUUGCUCUCUGGCUGCUUCUUGUUGAGCUCUUUUCUCACGCCUCUGAACACUUUUGCUUGGUUUUGAUUUCUCAGUUUGAUUGGUGGCUGAAACUCCAGCAAUGGCCUUAACCAAAUUGUCAAGAUCUCCUUUAUCUUUCUUGUUGCUGCUGCCAUAACCUGCAGAAGCCAGUUCUUCUGCAUGUCUUUCUUUGAGUUUUGCUGAUAGAUUGGAUAUCUCUUGCUCCACUUCUUUCUUCUUAGCUUUCUGUUCAGCCUUGCUGCCCUUAGCAGCUGCCUUUUUCAUUCCCACUUCCUUAUUUUGUAAUUGGGAGAUCUCUUUCCUGCAGUAUACAUGAAUUAAAAUGCUUUUAUUCACAGUAACCAAUUCAAAACACAGUGGUUCUACUUAUCUGUUUCAAAAUAGGUUAUCAAUUACUAAAGCUUUAAUAUUCUUUUCUUUAAUUCAGGAAAUUGUUGUAGAAGUUCCCAAUGCAAAUCCAUCCACUUUCAAACUAUAUAUCAAUGGCAAUUAACAUAAAACAUCUAAGAAUGUAGAAUUGUUAGAGAGAGAUAGAGAGAGAGAAGGGGGAGAGAUAACUGAAUCAACAGUGGUACACCAUAUUCAAAAUUAGAGAACUGAUAAAGUCUAGACAAACAUUACAGCACCUAUGCCUAGAAAGCAUCUCCUCAAGGCUUUCUUCCUUCUUCACAGGCGUGUCUUCUAAAAUCUCCUCAGAAGGCUUACCCACCACCUCAGGUCCAUCCUCCAUCUGCAACUCUGAGAUUAAACAGGACAGCAAUAUUGGAAUGUCAGGCAAGCAUCACAUUUCGAUGACUAUAAUUUUGCAUUGUGAAAUGAAAGAGACAUUUGUCACUUGAUUAUGAUGUAUCCUUCCUUCAUGUCUUAAAUAAGCUAAGGGCAAGGAAUGAAAUAUCACGAAAGAUCCAACAAGUAGUAGUAAAUGGGUGUAAUGGCCCAUGUAUAUACUUCGUUCUUUUCAUCUGGACAUGCUCAAAUGGCAGUCAGGUUAACAGAGGUCAACGCGCCUUAAAUCAAGAAUUCUUAAACUUACAAGAACAUGCAACUAUUGCACAUUUAGUUCAUAGUCUAGACCAGGGGUGUGCAACGAAUUCGAAAUCGGUAAACCAGAAGUUUGAAAUCGGAAUUUUUCGAAAUUUUGACAUGUGAAUUGCCGACCGAAUUCAAAUUCGAAUUGGCCAAUUCCGAUUUCGAAUUCGAUUCCGAAUUCAAUUCGGAAUUCAGAAUUCGGAAUUUACCGAAUUCUUCCGAAUUCAUCAAAUUCAAAAACCUGUUUUCCAAUUUUUUUUUUAAUAACUUCUCACAAGUCUGCAUCACAAUACAGGCAACACCGGCAGUGGCAAGCAGAAAUAUUAAAUGAUCAGUUUCAUAUUCUGAUGACUACGGAUUCUACGAAGGCUGGCUGUGCAGAUGCAUCUUUGGUUAAAUUAAAUCUAGCAGUUGGUUCAAAAUGGAACCAACACAAUCAAGUUGCUGCAAGGAAAUCAUCUUGAGAACGGCCAAAAGGUCGAUUGAGGAACAUGGCCAAUCGAACUCCACCCUGAGACCUGGGAAGGCAACAACUAACGGUGGCAAUAGCAGUCGCAGUAGCAGUAACUUAUACAAAGUCCAUUUAUUACAAUACUUAUACAACCAUUCCAAUCCACAAGAAUAAAAUAGCAGGCACAUAUGUUCCAAUAAACUGCAUUUGGGAAACUGAAAUAAGACCAAAACUACCAAAAUUGACUAAUUUUUAGAUCACCUUCUUAAAAGAUAUUGCUUUUAUUGAAAUUUCGCAACUACUAGAAUACUCACAAGCUGUUUGAUGAAAUGCCUAAGAAAAAUAAACUAGAAACACAAAUUAAUAACAAUUAUAGCAUAGCCCCUAUUAAGUAAAAUCACCAGCGUACAUCAAUUUGUCCUUGAAGAUGAAGGCUGAUGAUGGCUUGAAGAUGAAGACUGUCGGGCUGAUGAUGGCUAGCUUGAUGGCUUGAAGAUGAAGGACUAGAGUGAGAGAGAGUGAAGAUGAAACCUGAGAAAGUAGGAAAGCUGAAGGCUGAAGGCUCUUAGUUGAGCUCCUUCUCGACUGAAGACUGGUAGACUGGCGGCGGACUCGGCGGAGGAAGGAAGGUGAGAGUUGUGAGACUGGUAGACUAGCGGGGGAGGAAGGAAGGAAGACCGAAGACUGGAGCUUAAGUGCUUAACAGAUUAGGUUUUGCUUUUUUGUCCUUUUUGGAGGUUGUUUUGUAACUUUGUUAAUUGGUAGAUGUAUAACGUAUUAUUGUUAAUUUGUUAUUAUGUUAUAUAAUAUAAAUUUUAUAUUACAUAUAUUGUAAAAAAAUAUUCUAUUAUAUAUAUAAAUAUUAUAAAACGAAUUCGAAAUUAGUUUUCCGCUUUCGAAUUCCGCAUUCGAAAUUCCAAUUCGAAAUCGGAACUACCGAUUUCAAAAACUAUAUUAUCGAAUUUGAUCCGAUUUCGACUAAUUCGAAAUCGGAAAUUCCGAUUUGAAUUCCGAAUUACCGAAUUCGAAAUUCCGAAUUCAAUUCGAAAUCGGUCGGUAAAUCAGAAUUUUUCGAUUUUGCACACUCCUAGUCUAGACUUAAAUUUUGACCUUUACACAUUUCAAGGCCAUAGACAUGCUCAAUAGAUUAAAAGGUCCCGUUUCACUAAAGACUUUAACUUCAGUUUUCCAGUUUACGUCCAGUGAGGAUAGUCCAUAUUGUAAUCUCAACAUCAAAAGAUUCAAGGGAAGGAACACCCAUCAAUAAAGCCAUAUAAUUGGAAAAUGUCACACAAUAAUAUAACCAAAAGUAAAGGCUUGAUAACAGAACACCACAAAUCUCAUUAACCGGAUCAUGACUUACUGGCAUGAAAAGUAUUGGGUGACAACUAUCAGCAUAGAAAAGUACUAAAGCAGUUCCAUUCCUUUUCAUUUAUUUACUUUCAAGAGAAGAAUGUUAUACAAUUAAAAAAAUUUAUGCCAUUUCUCAGUUUUAAGCUCAUCUUAUUGUGGUCUCAGAGUUUCUAACAUAAAACCCUAAGCUUCUUUAUGAUUUCUGAGUGAUAACAAGCCAAAAGUAACUAAAUGUAGAUCAGAUUAAGUCAAAGCUUGUAAAUUUACAUACAUAAAAAUACACAUACUUCUGAUCCCCUCAUUUUCCACUAUAAUUCCUAUAAUCUUCUUCAGUAUUUAGCUCGCAUUGAUUUUAGAACAAUUGAGAUGUAAGUUUAAUUCACCUAUAAUAAGCACGUCCUUCUUACGACUAAGCAUUUUUCUCCAUGAAUCUAACAUUCUACGGCAUUGACAACACACGUCAUGGUUUAGAAGAAUGAGAAAGAGAUCAAAUAUUUAGGGCUCCUAUCGUCCGCCUUAUAAACUGGCUUUGAUUAUUUUGAUGAUCAACAAGUAAGAGAAUCAACUACCAUAACUUCUUCCAUCGCCCCUAUUACACUCUCUGCAUUUUAUUUAUGCCCUUGCUUAGUUCUAAUUUCCUGUUUGAAUUCAGACACAAGCAGCAUCUAUUGACUUUAUCAUCCUAAGCUGCUCUAAGACACUGCACUAGGGGCCUUCUGACCACCUUUCCUGAGACCAACUGCCAACAUAAUUGGUGGAUCUCUCUGGUCCUGGUGGUGAAACUAAAUGACUCACAAGACCAGGUUAAGACAACCUCAAGCAGUGCUUCCAGCCAACAACAAACACUACUCAAGACUUCGUUUAAAGUGUUAGCACUUAAAUAAACAAGCAUCGUUUAUUGCUUUGCAUUAUUAAAGGAACCUAAUUGAAUAUGGAUAAAACAUCCAAAAACCCUAAACUUGAAAACAAAGUGCAUAAAAAGUUGCAGCUGAGCUAGCAAAGAAAGGUUUGUCCACUAUAAAUCAAAUGCAAAUAGACUUGAAUCAAUCUGCACUCUACCGAAUGAAUGAUUUCUUCCAUACGUGUUGCCAGUAACAAUUCAGCACUACUCUUCCACCGACAAAUGUUAUAAAAGUAAACAUUCUUUGCCAACAUCCUCACUUCUCAAUUAGUCCAAAAAAUGACCAGCUAUCCUAAAUGGGUUUUUAGUAAACCUUGAUAAAGCCCUUGUGAAUCAUGUAAAUUAAGACCUCAUAUUAACUUAAAAAACAACUCAUACUUCACUGGAAUACGCCUAAUUAUUUGUAGCAAAUUCUUCAAUAAUUUCAUAACCGUCAACUACCCAUCUCUUCAAUCUCAUUAUUAGUUUAGUUUCUUUCCAAUCUGAAGUGCAAGUGGAGUGCAUAAACUGGAACAAAACCAAAAUUAUUAACACAAAAAUCAAACUUUGACAGCGCCGAUUCAAUUUCUAUUUAAUCAUCAACUUUUUUCUUUUAUUUUGAGCACAAAUGUAACUUUAUUUGAUAAGAGAACACAUCAUACACAGAGAGGACAAACCUCAGUAACAAACUGCUGAACAGCCAAAAAACCAUGAAAAAAAAAAAUUACCCCCCCCCCCCGCCCACCUAAAUUAAGACAAAACACAGUACAUAAUAGAGGAACUACUCAAAGAUAUCAAAAGGUAAACUUCAUUCAAUAGCUAGUCCACAAUUCUCACUCAUGCGUUCACCUUAUACCCCUCCACGCUACAACCAGGAAAAAAAAAAAGGAAAAGAAAAAUUAAACAAGAUUCCCAGACUUCCACAGGUAUCCAAAUUUAUAAUUGUACCCAAGUUGUGGCAAGCAUUCAGCUGAAUUCAGUAAUUAAUAUGCUUUCUUCAUGAUAAUUCCACGGAUAGAAAAGAACAGAAAAUUCGAUAAAUAUCUAAGACUGUAGAAUAAAUAAGCCCAUGAAAAGAGGCGGGAGGUGAAGAACUGACUAAAAAUAAAACAAAAUAAAAACCUGGCGGUGGCGGUGGCGGGCGGCGGCGGCGAAAGAAGAAGAGGGAGGUAGGCAGAGCAGAGGCGGGACAAAGACCACGGCAAUACUAAAAACAGAAGAAACUUUUAUGCUGCCAUAGGAUUAUAUAAUAUUACGAGUGGAGAGGCCCAAAGUGGUCCAAAUUGGUGUUUUUAACCCUAAGUUUCUUAAAUUGUUCAAGACUAGUCCUAGUAGUUAUUUUUCUAACAAAUAAUAGAGGUCAAAAAUAAAUUUUCUAACAAAUAAUUUUUUAAGUGAAAAAUUAAUUACUAUUUUGGCUGUCCAAGAAACUUUUAUCUUCCUGCGGAGAAAAACCAAUUGAGGAAAAAAUUUUAAAUCCACAAUAUAUAUACAUAUAAUUGGUCCAAAUUGGUGUUUUUAAACUUAAGUUUUUAAAAUUGUUCAAAGACUUCAAGUAUUAUAGUCCUACUAGUUAUUUUUUAACAAAUAAUAGAGCUCAAAAAAAAUUUUCCUAAAAAAUAAUUUUUUAAGUGAAAAAUUAAUUACUAUUUUGGUUUUCCAAGAAACUUUUAUAUGGUUUUAUCUUCGAGUGGAGAAAAAUCAAUCGAGAAAAAAACAUGAAUCCACUAUGUAUAUAUAUAUACACACACACAUAUAUUUGAUCCAUCUAUGGAAUAACCAUAUAAUUUUGGUAAUUUGUUGUUGUUAUUAUGGAUAGGUGUAGUAAAAUUGAAUAACUAAAGGAGAAAGAUUUUAAUUAGAAUAAUCUUAUUGAAGAAACAUGGGCGCAAAAAGGUCAAGCAAGCAAAAGAGAUUAGUGAUUAGAGCAUAUGAGGUACACGAUAUCUAAUAACACAGAGCUGAUGAAUCAACCUAAAUUAUAUUCACUGGGUUGGGCUAGAAGUCAGGGGAGAAGGGUCCUCAGAGCCCUAUCUUAUAAUCAUCUUCCAGUUUUUUCAGUUUUUCAUAUGACCUCACAAAUUUUAUUUCAUGACUUUAUAAUUUUCAGUAAGUUCCAAAUCUUAACAUUGUCUAAUUACUCAGAAUAUUUUAUGGCUAGUUGCCUUUUUUUUUUCUAAUCCACUAGACCACUGGUACAAUUGCCAAGAAGUUAAAAGGUAAUGAUAUGGUACAGUUUAAGGAGGAAGAUAAGAAUUUGACGUAACUGUCCGAUACCAAAACAUACUUCCAAGUUCCAACAUGCAUUGAAGGAUCUUAGACUUCUUGAAUGACAACUUUCAGUUCAUCUGAGAGAAGAAAAAGAACAAAUCAACAGGUUUAGGCAAAGCCCUCAGAGUGGCAAAUUUUCUUCAGACUCAAUGCUGAAUCCCUUGUCAGAAAUGAAUUCCUGGUUUGUGACUGAUCAAGUGCAUUGUUCUCAUUCUUAAAUCAUGUUGAUUGUUCUUCUCCACGAAACUGCCAUAAUUUCAUGUUUUGAUCACCCUGCUGUUUCAAUUGCUUCUAUGCACUCCACAACUGUUGCUUUCUUUGACAUUGCAGAGAUUAAUGCUUCAUGAAGUGCCUUAUUGUUCUUAAGCAGUGAUCCAGAAAAGAGUACCUACAAUGUAGUUUUCAGGAUUAAUUGUGUUGGUAAGUAAAUGAUGAGCUCAUUGCUUGCAAGACUUGGUACUAAACACAAAUCAGACCAGGCUUAAGGUGAUCAGUUGCAUAAACUUACUGCCCAUCUUGUGAGGUUUUGUUGCUGAUCUUUGCUAAGCUGCGGCUUGCUCCUAUUUAUAAAUCUCUGAGAGCAGGGGAAGAAGCCAAAUCAAUGUAACUAGAAAUCUUUCCAAGGAAAGUGCAUUUUCAGGAAAUCCUUAGACCUGAAGAGUGAAUAGAUCAGCAGAUUGGCCAACCACUUUAUCAUAUGUUAGUCCCUCUGCUGCCAAUCCAGCCAUUGCAACUACUGCUAACCUGAGAAACAUAACUAAAGUUUAGUUUAUUAGUCUUUCAAAAAAUCUAUCCUUAAAACUUCAGUUGAGCUUUGGGAUAGGAAGGUUCAGAUUCGUCCAAGCGGAGGAGCUUUGAUUUAUUUCUCCACCAUUUGAACCACAGCUGGUCCAAGGUUCUUCAAGAUUAGAAGGACAGAAAUACAAGCCAUUGGACACUUCAGAGACUGGUGGUAAUUGCCUUUAUGUGCAGUCCUAUAAAUCCACCCAAGUUUUGACAUGAAAAGGAACUUUCAAAAGCUCCAGUGAAUGAGAAUCCUGGUUCAUUACCUUGUGAUUGUGUAUCAUUCUGAAUUACCUAUUUUUCCCCCAAUAAGAAGUGAUUCCCUUCUACAUACAAGCUAAUUUAAUAAGGACUUUCAACACUAGGUCGGUUCGUAGUAUUCUUUUUCACCAUAAACUUAGGAUCUGAAGUGUUGCUGCAAAACUUGAAUGGAACAGUAUAACAUGAAAUAGACAUGCCUUAACGGUUAUUUCGACUCUUCUUCAAACAAGAACAUCACAUUGGCUAGAUAUUAAAGAGGAAAUGGGAAUAAGAUAAUACACUUCCCAUUAUAUCAACAGGCUCUAGUAUUAAGACAAAGAUACCUGUCUAGUUCUUUGGCAUCAAGCUGUCCACUAUAUAUCAGCUGUUCUAGUUUUUCAUCAAUGAGAUUGACAUGUUCUUUUCCAAUAUCCAGUGAAUACCCGAGGAUAGGAAGGCCAAGUAAGUAGGCAACUGCAAUUUCAACAGCGAAUUUUGUCAUGCCAAAGCAAAAUAUUUGGGGUACACACAUAUUUUGCAAAAUUGUACGAGACAGCAUCCACUUUCAUCAUAAUUUGGAGACCACCUCCUUCUCUUUCUCCUCCUUCCACACUGCGGUCACGUACAACAAAAAUAAAAGAAUUCCUUGAGGGAUUUAAUUUCUCAUCCCAGCUUAAGCUUUAUGACUGAGUAUUGUGGCUUAAGGCUCCCCCCCCCCCCCCCCAAAAAAACAAAAAAAAAAAAAAAGCAUUUGGUGGAUUAAGUUUUACAUUUCAGAUUCCUUUUAUACCACUAAAAUCUGAAGUUCCACAGCAUUUGUCUGGUAUUUCAUAAAACAAUAUAUAGACAAAUACUUCCUUACAUUUGCAGAUCUACAUUUGCCAUACUGAAAAAGAUGUUACCUAAAAAGUGAGCUGCCUCAUGUCUAGCAAUCCUCUCCUGGUAAUCAGGAAAAAAUGAUGAAAACCCACCAAUGGCUGCCUGAAGGAGACUAUAUCAUGAAUACAUAUCAGCAUUUGCUGUAAGACUUGCCUUCACUCUUAUCACUCCCUCUCUUCUCUCUACGACUAAGCCUGUCUUCUGACCUUGUGUCUGUGCUUCUUUUUUUUUUUUUUGUGUUUUUGCAUGUUGAAUUCUAUCGAUGGUUGGGUGUACAGUGAAAGUUCUGUGCCUGUUACUCACUAAUCUCACUUGUCUUCAGUAGACAAUCAUGGAAAAGUUAACUUUUCACACUUCACAUCUAUCAAGGGCAUACGAAAAGAUGUAUCUUAUGACUUACCCAGGGGAAACGCUCCCAACUGCCAGAACAAUUAAAGAGAUGCUCCCAAUUAAGUAUGGAAGAAAGAAACCCCAAUCCUGAAAGAGCAUAAAGAUGAUGAUCAUAUACUAUGCAUCACUAGACAAUCAAGCAAAAAACUGCAGAAAUCUAACAAAAAGGAGGUGACUUAGUGUCUCAAAUUCAUACAAUGUACUUCAAUUUGUGGAGCUUUUGCACCUAUUUACCUAAUAAAGCAUAAAAUUGUUUAUGGCACCACUCAUUUACUAAUAUAAGUCGCAUUUUGAGUGGUAAUAUCAUUAAUCAUAUGCUUUAAGAUCAAUAUUACAGUUUUUUACUGUUAUUGUAGCUUUAAGUUCACCAGAGAAGGGUGCUCCAACACAAUGAUUAAGGCUUGAUUCUCAUAUACAUGAGCAGAAAGAUAUUCGCCUGCAUGAUUCAUCUAUCUAUGCUCGGGAGUAGACAAAAUAAGUAUGCCAAUGGACAUAAAGCUUACCCCAGGAAGCUGGCUAGUGAGAACACCUAAAAAACCAGUUGUUCCUACCACCGUAAAGAGAAACGCUGCCUGCACUACUGGAAGAAUUAGUUAAACUAAAAUGAAUCAGAACUACUGUAAAUUUCUUUGAGGAAAAUUAUGAAAACAUAAUCUCCAUUUUCUCAAGUAAUUAUACAUAAUGCUGCAAAGAAAACAUCAGAGCCAAUGCAUCAAGGUUUUAUGUUUGAAUUCUGAGCCAAAUUAAAAUUCUUCUUAUUUUAGAUAAUGCAGAUAUAGGACACACCAAUAUCUCUAUUUCUUGAAGAGCUACAGAACUGGUUAAGACCUGCAAGGUGGCCUUAUAAGUUGAGACCUUUUUUAAGCAUUGAAUAUGCACUUCUAUAUAAUCAGUGGAUGUGUUUGAGAAUAUGCAUUUCACGACAAACUUACAUCAUUUCUAACACUUGGGAUUGCAAGGUUCUCUGCAUUUUUAAUCCCAAGGGUUGUCAACUCUCGAAGAGAUGUCUGCGACAGAAAUUUCAGAACAAUUGUCAUUUUUCUGCAGAUGAAAACAAAAGAAUAUUUUAAGGAAACAACAUAAAAUAUAUGUUUUCAGAGUACAUGUAUGCACAGAUUUGUAGAAGAUGUUAAUGCUUGAGUAGAACUUUCCCAUAACUUCUCAUUCUCAGUUGAGACUGACCGUACGGCGUGAUACAUAUGGCUGAGAACUCCACCUUUUCGCCCAACCAACUUCACUCAGCUGAUCAAGUACUUCUUUAACUGCAUCACUUUCUUUCUGCAGCAUGUCAAUAGAUGAGAACAAUAUCAAACAAAAUGUAACUGAGGCAUUGCAGAAUUCUAAUAUUUUUCUGAUCAAAUGGAUAAAAGAAUGGAUUGAUGUGCACAAGCAUUUUAUCCUAGUAGCGACUUGUCAUACCAUAGCAAAGAACUGCAUCUGGACAUUUAACGGGUCCAAAAAUGCUUCAUAAAUUUUAAAAAUUGAACUCGUUUUUGGUUAAAUUUGCUGAAGAUGCCUUCAGGCUAUAUCAAUAGCUAGUGAUGUGAUAGACCCUAAAAUUGUUUUGCAUAUGCCUAAUAAAAGAAGGGCUAAGAGAAGAAUGAUCUUGUGAUACAGUAACAUUUACACUGGUCGGAUAACCAUGCUGCAAUUUCACAACUUAGUAAGAAACUAAGUAAAAUGCCUUUUAAUACUAGUUACAGAUUCGUGGCAGGACCAAUGAUUGGCCUCAGGAGUUAACCGUUAGCAUUUAAUAUGUGAAUAUUAGUGGUACGAAAAUCAGAGAUGGACAUUAUUAUUCAUGUGCAAAUCUUGUGUACUUUCUAUGUUUUAAAUGUGCAUACAAACGUUAACAUGUGUACUACUAGUUUUCCUGCAAAUCUGUAAACAAAUGUCGUCUGCUAAAGGCAAUAACCUAUCCUCACUCAAUCUCAAAUAAAUUUCUCAUAACCACCGUUACCAUUUAGCUGCCUACAGUUUUACAGUGCAGAACAUUCCAAAAAGAAUUCUGCGAAGAUUUCACUCUGAAUCGGUUUCAAAAAUGCCAACUUUCCAUCUGUCCGUAUAUGGAUUCUCAUAAUAGUCAAUAAUUUCUCCAAAAGUGAAAAGUCAGACCAAUUCAAUGCUCACAUUUUAUCUAAAAUUAAAAAAUGGAAGCAAAAAUUAGUAAAAACACCUCAGAUGACAACAAUUUUUCCAUUUAUAUCCGUAAAAUGCACUAAUAAUCCACAAUAAGAAAAACCCGCAUGGAGAAAAAUAAAGGUUGAAAAACAAAUUUCUGUGAACAAAAGACUAACCUUGGAAAUUGCAGAUUCAAGAAUGCUGAGGUCCACACCAGAAGCAGCUGAUGAAGAAGCUCUUAUCCUCCAACUCAUGGGAUGCCUGAAACAUGUUCGAUUAUUCCAACAUUGUAAAUUAAUAUGGGAAUGGCAAAACAGAGAGGAAUAAAGGGUUGAAACGGAGGUGGAAGCCAUGUUUUCCUCAGGUUUUCUUUCCUUCUUUCUGUCUUCUGUGAAGUUGGUCCGGGACUCGGGGUCUGGGGAUAAGGUUGGCGGGAGGACUUGAAUAUACGGUUACAAAUGUACUAGUCUUUCUUUUCCCCCAUAUGUAACCAUAUGGACCCUUUUUUAAUUUUUUUUGGUCUUAAUACCUUUUAUGACAUGUCCAUUAUUUCAAUUUGGAGAAAAGUUUCAUAGAGAACUUCUACAAUGGGUAAAAGAACCUGAAUUUGAGGGAGCAUUAAAGGGUCAUCUCAGAAAUACCUCACAGACAUUUCUACAAAUACUUUGUCUUAAAAAAAGAAUCUUUAUUUCGUCAUGUAGCAGAUUAUGGCUGGGAAAUGGGGGCAUACGUAUGCCUUUUCCGAGAGUCGGUGGUUAUUCAAUUCCUUGAAAAACAGUUAUCUAUUCAAAAAUACUAUUUUCUCCGUCCCACACUUUGAUAGUCUCAUUUCUUUUUUCACAAAAUUUAAGAAAAAAUAGUUAACUUUGUUGGAAAAGUAAAUUUAGAUUGCUAUUUUUCUAAAAUACCCUCACAUUAAAUAAAGUACAACUUUAUGGAAACUUGAAUUAAUGGUAAAAAAAGAAUCAACUCUCAUUAAAUGAGGUAGAUUUAUAGUAACAACAACUUACAUUAAAUAAGGGCAUUUUAGAAAAAUUAAAAUACAACUACAUUCUUCAAUUGGAAAGUGGACUACAAUUUGGGACAGACGAAGAUGGGAAAUGGGACUGUCAAAGUGAGACGGAGGGAGUACUAUAAAGCACUAAGCAACCAAGAGUAUCCUUAUUGCCGGCGCAACAUUGGAUCAUUGAACUUACAAAUUUUCCUACCAUUAUCUCCUAAAUUUAAGACUAUCAAAUAGAACCCAUUCAACUCUUUUCGAUGAUGGAUAGAGGGAAACAGUUGGGGAGAGAAAAAGGAGAGAUUGAUGAUGGGGUUUGGUGGACUUGGUAGCCCCGCUGUAGACUGCGGCUGACGGAAGACACAAGAAAGAAAGAAAGAUUUAACCCGGGGUUAAAUCUGGGUUAAAUCUUUGCUCAUCUAUGAUCUAACAGUUUAGUCCUUACUGGUUUGUUUGAGCGCUUUAUUUAUUUUUCUUUUAAAGCAAACACAAAAGGAAAAUUAGAACCAGAAAAUACAAACCCAAAGAGAAAAGGGUAAAAAAUAAAAAAAAACCCCUUGUGGUAAAGUUAAUAUAUAGAAAAAUCCCCUAUGAUUUCAAAACGUACAACAUGACACCCCAUAUUUUGAACUAAAUUGUAAAUGUGACGAAAUCCGUUAAGUUUAACGGAAAUGAAUUAUUGGAACUUUAAAAAAAAAUUUAUACCUAAAUUUUAACAAAUAUACCUGUUCUACCCCUUAGCCGUUAAUUAUCUCUCUCUAGAGAAUAAAAUAAAUGAUUUUGUUAAGUUGUCUUUUGCUUAAUUAUAUCAGGGCAUUUUUAUCAUUUCGUCCAUUUCUGUUAAAUUUAACAGAUUCCGUCACCUUUACAAUUUAAUUCAAAGUAUGAGGUCUCGUAUUGUGCGUUUUGAAAUCACGAGGGGCUUUUCUCUGUAUUACGUUCACCACGGGGGCUUUUUUUUUUUUUUUACCCAAGAGAAAAUUAGAACCAUGUGGAACCACAGAGCAGAAUGAGCAAAAGAUACAAGAAGCACAUAUUCAUCAAACUGCUGCUUAAUCAAUUAUGGUUAAAACAACUCUAAUGAAUGUGUCAUUUGUAAGUAAAAACCAAUUAUGGUUACAACAACUCUGAUUUAUGAAAUUCGAAAUUAAGUUUUAACUUUGCAUAUGUCACUUACAUUUAACCUCCCUAAUGCAUACAUAGGCAGAUGGCGUUAGAAAAUUUCUAGCACUAAAUUACUAACAUAUUGUCUUUUAGUCCAUUAGAAUUCAUGGUUAAAAUAUGAAAAAAGAGAUAGAUUACACUUAACGAGAGUAAUCUAGAAUGGGAUUAAUACACACAUCGGAAUCCUUGCAUUGUGAGAAACCAUUUUAAUGUACAUAUUUGCAAAAUUGUAUAUUGAAAAUUGACAUUGAGCAGGAACCAUUUAACCUUCAUCUGCAAUGAUCUCAAAUUCUUCAUCUAUGAUUUGAUGCUAUGUGAUGGCAAUGUUAAUCUUGCUCCUUGUAAUAAAACGACUAGUAUGGAAACAUGUUUUUAGUCAGGAUAUACGAGAUUUUCAUGAUUUUAAUACUCUGAAUUUUGGUGAAAGAUUACUUACAAUAAUAAGUCAACAUUGUUGUAGCUAAAAUAAUUGAUAGCAAACCUGUUAAAUUUGUCUUUGUAGCUUAUUGGAAAUUUUACAAAGAAAUCUCUUCUUUUGAUGGUUAUAAAUAUAGUGGAUAUAAUUGAAUUUAAGUAUGCCAAGGGCACCAGUCCAAGUGCUAUAUACACUGGUCCAAAAAAAGUUUACAGAGGCCUACGCCUUAGUUUAAGAGAGGUUUUGAUUAGACAUCAAACUAAAAAAGUAAGUUAUGAGCCUUUGAUUCGUUAAGUAAUUUUUGCUAAUUAGACUCUUUUAUAUUUUCAAUUUUAGGUGCCUAAUUUUCUAGAUUUUGUACUAUCUUUUUGUUAUAGUAAAUUUGCUAUCUCUGUGUCUUUCUAUUUUUUUUUAUUUAUUUUGUUAUUGUCUUUAUUAAAUUGGCAAGAAUCCUAUUAUUUAAGCUUUGAUUAAUUUUCAGGGACCAACCUAACAAAACCAAUCCAACACCACAAAUUGCUUCAAAUAAUAAAUUUUAAUAAAUUACUUGCCAUCUACAACCCUAUCUUUCUAGUGGUCCAGGAAACAAGUACUCGAAGUCGAGGGCCAGGCAGAGGCUAUAUCCCUACUUCCAAACUUCAAUAUCCGCAAACUUCAAUAUCCACACACUUUAUCUCCACCUCCUUCCCACUCCCCUUUUUCUCCCAAACAACACACAACCUCCCAUCGAAAUUCACCAUCGUUGCGCCAUAGACGUACACCCUGCAACUCCUUCCAAACACCUUCCUCCACAUCAUACCCUGCAAUCUUCCCAAAAAUAUUACAACAACACAACACUCCCUGAACCACCGCAGGCUGCCGCCGACAAAUUAUUAACACGUUUCCGCACUUCCCCACCACCCCAACAUCAUACACCUCCCCACUUCUACCCGCCAUUGCAUAAACUCUCCCCUCCAUCACCACGCUCGCGUGCAUCCGCUUCAACCUCACCUCAACAGGGCUCGGCACCGUGGUCCACAACCCGGUAACCGGGUCAAAAACCUCUGCCCACUCCAUAGACUGAGCCGUACCAUCCACAACACAACCACCUAGAACAUAAAUCUUCCCAUCAACAACUCCCGCUCCGGCGAACUCCCGGGCCACCUUCAUUCUAGGGCCUUCCUCCCACCUAUUGAACCUACAAUCAUAAACCCACAUCGAAUUUGACGGAAUUCCAUCAAAAGCUCCCCCAAUUACGUAUAUUUUCGGGCCUAGGACAGCCAACGCGGGCCCUACGGGCUGGACGCGGUUGCGGGGAAGGGGAUAAAUGGGUUUUUAUGGGUUUUGGCAAGUAGGGACGAGAGUGUAUCAGUCGAAGGAGUUGUCGAUGCGGAGGUUGAGGUAAAGAAAGGUUUGGAUGGUACGGAGGCGGGGCCGGGCGGUCAAGAGUGUAGAGGAGGUUAUGGCGGAGUGCCAUGUUUUCGAGACAAGAGAGAGAUCACGGUAAUGGGAGCUGGGGACUCUUGCUAGGCAGUCGAUGGACACGUCGUCUGGGAGCUUUGGGAUCAGCUGGAGUUUAGCCGAUGGUUGUGGCGGCUGGCUGCCACUGGCGGCGGCGGCGGUCAUAUGGAUUGUGAAACUUGGGAAAUGCCUAUGUUGGUUGACUUGGUUGGUUGGUUGGUCGGUCGGUCAAGGUUGUUGCAGCUAAAUAUGUAUUGAGAUUUAACUGUAGAGACCUCCCAUAAGGUAAAAGUUAGACAUAAUACUUUGUAAAAAUUCCCGAAUGGCAUUUCCCAAGUACUAAAUAAUACCGGUUGGACUUGACAUUCCUGGCAUUGAGUACCUUAAAAUACGUUAGCAGCGUAUUUGGUCUCGAGCUCGAGGCUCGUCCAGCUCGGUUAAUUACUCAGAAUAUUGAUAAAAAAAGAUUAAUCGCACAUGUAUGGCUCUGACAAGGUUUUGGUACAAAUCUAUGGGUAUCGGGUUGCAUCCAAAAGGCGACUGAAAAAUUCUGACUCUAACACAGUCUGGCAGCGAAAUUUUUUUUGUUUUUUAAUAAAGCUGUAGGCUACCGGGCUGUCCGGGCUGACAAGACCCGGUAGCCGACAACCUCUGCACAAAGUUGGCUGCCGCGCUCUCCAAUAAAAUUUUUUUAAAAAAAAACUCCAAAGCAGUCAGCAGGGCUUGUGGACAAAAAGAAAAUGGUUGGCAGCUAAUGUUGAGCAUUUCGUGAGACAUGUAAAGCUGAACAAAAAAAGUGCUAGUACAUAGCAGAGAUAUGACAACCCCACCUCACCCUAAGGCGAACCAAAGAGUUCGGCGGGCCGCCUGCCCAACUCUCGCCGGGACUCAGUCGUUCAAUUUAGAGCGAUCUAAUACGUUUCGGGACAUACAAACGCGCGUAACCAAGUCAAGAUGUCAAAAUAAAAAAAUGAAACCGGAAUCGGUCAUGAAUAGUAACCGACACGUCAAAACCCAACCAAAUAUCAAGCAAAUAUUUACAUGUUGAAAUUUAGCAUAUACAACCUAAAGGGGCAUACCAAAGUGACUCAAAAGUGGAUACAUGUACGGUUUGCCAAAUUCAAAAGAGAAACGGACCCAAAAAUACAUUUAGGGUUUCAAUCAAUGAGCUAUACAAAAGAUAUGUCCAACUAGCUCAAUUCGGCAACCAAUUGUCAAAUCCAGUCCAAAAGUAUUUCUUUUCCUGUAAGGAAAAACAAAAAAAAAAAAGAACAGAAAGGGGGUGAGCUUGCGCUCAAUGAGGUACCAGACAUAUAGCAGUAAACUCAUGGCAUUUCACAUUUAACAAAUCAGGUACACAUGCCAGAUGUAAAGUAAAGGAACCAAUGAUUCAAAUCGGAAGGAUACAAGUGGCUCUCAAGAGCCAAAUUCCCAUUUGAGUCACCGAACCUUGAUCGAAAUAAUAGUUGACACUCCGUCAACGCUAAAGGAGUAACCAAUACCGUAGACUCCACUUUCUUCGAUUCCUUCCACCUCACAUACCCCUACCGGGCCCGAAAUCCAAUCAGAUCAGAAAUGGUAAUACUCGAGUAUACAGGAAUCAAGGGUCUCAAUACCCAAAGAUCCCAAAACAGACUACCGUGGUUCGUUAUCUAAUCGACCAGGCCCUUGCCGGCCCGACUCGAGUAACUGGCCACAGGUGUUGAGCUCAGAGGUCCCAGAAAAGUCGUUGGAUACAAGCUUCCAAACGACGUCAGAACAGAUACAGAUCCAGAUACAAAUAACAGAUACAGAUACAGAUAGCAGAUUCAGAUACGCACUCAAAAUUGGCAUAUGAACAAACAAGAGAACGAGUGUAAUAAAGUACACCCUCGCCUUCCUUUUAUCAAAACAGUAUUUGGCCCCAACAGUCAUAAAUCAAGUAUUUCAGAUAUUCAGAUAUUUCACAUAACGGGUAGCAAGUAGUGGAACACUCACCGGGGUCAGUACAGAUACCUCCCAAAAGAGAGCUUUAAUCACCAAAAAACCCUAAAAUAAUCCAAGGAAAACAAUUGAAGGUUCCACUUUCAAAAAUCGAGCAUAUGUGAGGCUCGACUACCAGUCGUAUGCCUCGCCAAAUAAUUACUAAAGCAAGGGUGCAAAACAUGAUUUUUGGAAACGAAAAGGUAACAUGAAAACUUAGGUUCAAACAACCCAAAAGCCCUUCGCUCAAAUCACAAGUAAAUCCAACUAGCCUUCAAGUAAAAUUUCAGCAGCAUAUCCCUUGUGUUUACCUAUUUUCCAGCCAUCAUGGCUUCAUUAUUUCCUCAAAUCAGUCCCAACAUCUCGUACAAAAAUAAUCUCAUUCCCAAAAGCCGUUCACUAGGCUUAAUGGCAUUCAAGUACAAAAUUUAGCUCGAAAAUGACCGGAUAUGAAAGUCAAGCCCUAAAUAAGACUCGAUUACAAAUCAUAAACCAAUGCCAAAUACAACCCCAAUAGGGUUCCAUAAGCAUAUACAAGCAUUAGGGGAAACCAGAAAAUCCAGAAAUGGCAUUAGCUUUAGCCCUGAAAAAAAUAGUUUUUGACCUCAUUUUGCAGUAAUGGCACCAAAGGCACUAAAAUUAUCGGAUUAAGGUCCAAAACCCACCGUUUCAAAGCUAAGAGAUAGGGUUACAAUAUUACAGAAGGUCACUCAACCCAGUUUCGAGUGUAACCAGGUCAAAAAUGCAAUCAACUAUACUAGAACCGCAAAAACAGAUUCACAGAACGCAUUCUAGUGCAAAUAUCAUAAAACAGCCUACAUAAGUCCAAAUCCAGAAAUUCCAAAGCCAUAUGAAAGCUAAGAAAUAGGGAUACAUUUCAUCAGAAGACCUCAACAACCAAUUCGGAAGCAUUCCUAACCAAAAUAACCAAUUACAUAAGCAAUUCCCAAAUUCGGGUAAAACCAGGACAGCAAGGGUAAUUUCGACUUUUCUCAAGCUACGCUACUCCGACUGACCUGAAAUUUUGCAGGAACUUCUAAAAUAUCAUUUCCUACAACUUUCAUGUUUUAAGCCAAAGCCAAUUCGGCCUCUAACUAUGAGAUACAAAACCGGGCAGAAUGAAGAACAAUGAAACCCUAAGUUUUCAAUUUCUUUCCAAAACAGCAAUUGCUUGCAAUUAACCACUUUUUCCACCUCCUAGAUCCCUUACAUACCAUUUCCAAUCAUCAUACAUAGCCACACAAUCAUAUUCAUAUUAAAAUAGAAAAAUCCCCAAUAAUUACAAAACUUCAUCAAUUCAACCAAAAAUCACAAUAUAAUCCAUAAAAUUGCAUCUUAUACUACCACUAAGCAUAAAUUAAGCAUCAUUAGAGGGAGGAGAGUGGUUCUUCAUAACUCACCUUAGAAACAAGAGAGAGAGAGAGAGCAACAAGUCCUCUUAGCUUUCCAAACAACUCCACCAAACCCCACACAAACACUCACUUAAGGUUUUCUAUGGAACAAAAGUAAGAUUAAGUGGUUGAUUAGUUGAAUUUGAGCAAGAUGGAGGCAAGAAUUUGAAGAGUUUUCUUUCUUUCUUUCUUGGAGGAGAGGGCCGGCUAUGAAGAGCAAAUUUUGAGUGAAUUUUUGAUCAAUUUUGAGUUAUUUUAACCAAAUGGUAAAAGUGGGAAUAGUAGUCAAAAAGUGCCACCAAUGUCCAAGUGACACUUGUCACUCUAUUAAUGCAUCUCUAUCCCUUUGUUCCCUCUCACAUCAAUCCAAAUUGCAACAUCUACUUAUCUCUUAACACCCGGUAAAUUAAUUUCAGUAUCCAAAACUUACCCUAGUUGGCCGAAUUUUACGGAACUUUCCGCACUAGUGGGUCCCACGUCCGAUAUACAUUCUUAUUUCUCAAAACCUAACCGAUACUAGAAAACUCAUCUAAAAACUCUAUUUACUCAUAAAAAUUAUCUAGAAAAUUGUCCGGAUACAGAAAGUGCAGAAAACAAGCCAUUGAAUAUAAUAAAACCCUAAAAUGAAAAAUUACGGGCUCUCACAAGAGAACUCGAAAAAAAAAAAAAGCUAUGUUCCACAAGAGUUUAGCAUCCCCUGAAUUGGCAGUUGUUUAUUUUAUUUUUUUUAAGCAACUUUGUAAUCUAGCCGUGCAAACGGACCGCUAGAUUUUGAUUGAUGCUCUAUAUAAGCACUGAGGAACUUCCUCAUCGUUACUCCGCGCCUCUCACUUUCUCCCACUCAGAGUUUACAUUGUGAGACCACAAGACAGUUCUUCGCCUGUGAGAAAAAGAGAACAUGACAAUUCUUCACCUGUGAGAAAAUGAGAAAUGUAAACUCUGAGUGGGAGAAAGUGAGAGGUGCGGAGUAACGAUGAGGAAGUUCCUCAGUGCUUAUAUAAAGCAUCAAUCAAAAUCUAGCCGUUCGUUUGCACGGCUAGAUUACAAAGUUGCUUAAAAAAAAUAAAAUAAACAACUGCUAAUUCACGGGAUGCUAAACUCUCGUGGAACAUAGCUUUUUUUUGUCGAGUUCUCUGCUAGGUACCAGCGCUUUUUUUGUUCAACUUUACAUGUCUGACGGGAUGCUCAACAUUAGCUGCCAGCCAUUUUUUUUUUUUGUUCAUAAGCCCUGCCGACUGCUUUGGAGUUUUUUUUCAAAAAAAAUUUACUGGCUGCCGGGCAGCUUUGUGCAGAGGCUGUCAGUCCGGUAGCCGACAGCUUUAUAAAAAAAAUAAAAAUUUUUCGCUGCCGGGCUGUGUCAGAGUCAGAAAUUUUCAGUUCAUACCAAAACCCUGUCAGAGCCAUACAUGUGCGAUUAAUCUUUUUUUGGUCAAUAAUCUGAGUAAUUAACCGUCCAGCUCUUGAAAAUUCAAUUUAAAUUCGAUUUAAUUAUUAUUUUUAUCUUUUUAAGUUCGAAUUCAAUGUAUUGUAUUCAACUCAAAUUCGACUUAAUGUAUUGUAUUUUUUAUCUUAUUCAAAGGGUUUGUUUGGAUAGGAAAUUAUUCAAAAAAAAAGUAUCUAAAAUAAUACUGUAACAUUAUUUGUAAUGUAAUUUAUAUGAGAUAAAAAGGUGGUUGAAAAUUAUAUUCAGGGUAUAUAUAUAUAUAUAUAUAUAUAUAUAUAUAUAUAUAUAUAUAUAUAUAUAUAUAUAUGUAUUGGCAAAUCUUGACAAUCAAACAAACCCAAUUAUUGUUAUUAUACUAACUUUUAGUGUAUCAAAAUUUAACCAAAAUUAUUUCUUUUUUUGUAAUUGAAAUACUUCAUUUUCUUGCACUAAAUAAAUGAAAAUUGUGCAAUGAUAUCUCAUUGACCUUCUAAAAGGGCCAACUAACAAUUUAUGAUACUUCAUAUCUAUAGCAUAACUGUAGCGGUGGACUGAAACUUGGGAAAUGCCUUGGUAUAAAUGUGCAUUGGCAUAACUGUAUAUUUCCUGCAGAAACUGUGAAGAUUGGUUAUAGGACCAUAUCAGGCAAUGUUGUAAAAGACAUUAAACAUAUGUAUUUUGUUUGGGAAAGGAACUUGUUUACUCAUAAUUAGAGCUGCAAACGAAUUGAGUUGUUCGAGUCCGAACUUGACUCAAGAUCGGUGAACAUCGAGCUCGAGUCAAAUUUGAAUUGAUCAAGUCGAACUCGAGUCAAAUUUGAAUUGAUCAAGUCGAACUCGAGUUUGAAAAUACUAAUCUUGUUAGUUUCCGAGCCGAUUCGAAUUUGAUUAUAUAUAUAAUUUUUUAUUUUAAUAAUAAAAUUAUAUAUAUAUUCCUAAUAUUUUAUUUUUUUAAAAAAAAUUAUUUUAUUUAUUUUAAAAAAAAAUAAUUAUUUUUUUAAAAAAAAUUUAAACUCAAACUUGACAUUUUGAACUCGUCGAGCUCAAACUUGAAUUUGAACGAGCCUCAACUCGAUUAGACCGAAAUUCAACUCGUUUGGACCCUUACUCAGAAUAUACACCCAUGAUGUGAUCUAUAUUGGGUACAUCAAAAUGUGGGAAAUGUAUCACAAUCUAAGGUGCAAAAUGUUGGGGAUAUUACAAAGAAAAUGGUUGAAUGAUACAAAGAUAGAUACACAAAAUAAAGAUUUCAAAUCUUGAUUCAAAAUCACUUUUCUUUAGGUUUUAAUUGCCCAUUAUUUGUGUGCAAUAGAACUUGGACAAAUUAUCCUUCACCAUAAUUUGAAAUUUGUUUGUCUUUUACUCUUUGCAAAGAUUUCAAAUCUUGAUUCAAAAUCACUUUUCUUUAGGUUUUAGUUGCCCAUUAUUUGUGUGCAAUAGAACUUGGACAAAUUAUCCUUCACCAAUUUGAAAUUUGUUUGUCUUUUACUCUUUGCACUAAAUAAGACAAAUCCUACUUGAACUAUGGGCUGUUUUUCAAGAGAAUUCUAUAGCGUAGAAAAGUAAUUUCUAUACAUGAUCCAGAAGUAUUUGAAAGUUGCAACUUUUGUCUAAUGAAUCAUGUAUUUUCUCAGCCAAGUGAUUAACACCAGUGGUCUGAAGUUUUUUUAGAGGUUUUAGACACCAUUUCGAGGGGCAUUAACCGUCAAAACAUGAAAAAUUAAACAUUUUGACCGUCACUAAGGAUCCAUCCGCAGAUCAUACUGCAUUUCCAAUGGGCGCUCAUACUCUUGCAGAAGGAUCCCUACACUCGUAUAAUCACUGUAAAAAGGACCUUUUGUGGAAGUUACUCGUAUAUAUAUAGCUCAGGAUUUACGAAUGAAAUGUACAACAAUGGUCAAAAUCACUGAACAUGCAGCUGUAUUUGAAUUAGAAUGACUAUAAACAUAUGAAUUUGAUCCUAAGUGACAUGCAGUUGUACGAGAGCACAAGAUUUCCAUCCAGAUGAAAGGUUUAACAAUGCUGAAACCAAUAACUAAGGGAGUAGAAUUUAUAGUACCAUGCACGAAUAAAACGCAUGAACUGAACUUUAUCGGAUAUCCAACCGGUCUAUGCAAUUGGGAAAGGCAGCAGGCUGGAGAAGAAUCGAAGUACAAUCAGACUGCAAGAAUGUGAUAGACUGUAUCUUAACCGUCUCAUGCAACAACAGCAACUGUGCUGUGAUACUGGAGGACAUACAACAACUGAGGGAGUUUUUUGAGCAAUGCAACUUCUCUUUUAUACAUAGGGAAGGGAAUGAAGUGUGUCAUAGGCUAGCAAAGUUUGCCUUGAAGCUAGUUAAUGAUGUAUAUUGGGAAUCAUGUUUCCCUGGCUGGAUUAAAGAUCUAGCAAGAAUAGAUUAUGAGAGCAAUGAGCUCCUUUUGUAAAGUGCUCUUGUAUUAUCAAGUUUAAAUCAAUACAAAUGUUAUCAUUUUGACAAAAAAAAAAAACCGGUCUAUGCGAGCACAGUAAAUUAAUUUCAAAUCAGAAGGGAAAAGAAAGGUACAUACAAGAAGCAGGACUGGUCCAACUUACAUUGCCAGCUGCAGAUGAACCCUAUAUGGUAUAUACACAUAAUAACAUUACAGAAUCUAGACAG
Molecule: long non-coding RNA, 80535 nt
Filed under: Coffea arabica (coffee)
Lineage: Eukaryota; Viridiplantae; Streptophyta; Magnoliopsida; Gentianales; Rubiaceae
Description: long non-coding RNA (CARA_LNC005281)
Rfam family: Plant small nucleolar RNA R71 (bases 19511-19617)
Source: RNAcentral